UGUUGUCUCAUGUGCAUGGAUCAACCUGGAUGGAGGGUGGUGAAUCGGGACGUAGCGGCCACGGUCAGGUCUGGUAUAGUUGCGAGUUAUCUUCAAUUCAAGCAUGAAAUCUCAAUAUUUGAAUGAACAGAAUCUUCCUUUCACUUGAGUGCAUAAGAUUCUUUGUAAGCAAUAUGCAACUUUCUUGAUGUGCCAGUACAAACUAGGAGGCGCUCGGAGGCUAAUGCUUAACUAUCUUCGGAUGAAACUGACAUCGAGGUGAUGGACACAUGUUGGCCUACUUUAUUCUUUUAGUAUGAAUGAUUAGCAUUUCAUAGAAACAUGAUGUAUGUGAUAUAUUUGAAUCAACAAGCUAUGUGAUUUUUUUCAUUAUGCAAUACAAAAGUAUGUUGUGAAAUAUAUUGCUAUACUUUAUUUUUAGCAGUCAUAAAAUAUGUAAAAUAUGUAUUCAGUUUAGUUGUUUUGAUAGAAUGCUCAUGUGGUUGGGCAGAGAAAAUAUUAUUGAAUUUAGUUGUUUUCAGUAUGCAGUGUGAUUUAUUAUUAAUUAGAAAAUACAGAAAAAAUUGUGUAGGUAUCUCGAUUCUCUUAGAUGCCACUUCUUGGCAUGUAAUUUUCAACAUUACUGAACUUUUUAGAGUUGUGUUUCGAUUGUAUUUCAGAGAGAACUUGCAAACUGAAGAAGUACAUCAAUCCUCAUUGUUUUAUAUAGGUUACUUAAAUUGGGUUAAAAAAUUCCUAAACCCAUCAUUUUCAUUUUACCAAAUGAUACCUUUCCAUCAUUUUCAUUUUCAAUUUAUUAAGUACAUUUUCUCUUUUUAUUUAAUUUAAUUAUGCAGGAAAAGGAGGAAUAUGUAGUUACCCUUUGUAUUGAUGAUAGCUACCCUUUGUAUUGGAGAAGGCGCGAGGAGGAUAGAUAGUCAAUGGUGCAGGUUCCAUGACUUGGCCAAAGGUUGGCACAAGCGUUAUGGGGUCAGAGAAACGCGAGUUGGGACUUCUGAACAAUGCUUGUAAGUGGCAUCUGUUGUAGCCCCACAAGCUUAAAAUGGGUUUUAUACAUUUGCUUUCGCUUCAAAACUUGAAGGAGCUAUUUGAGUUGGUGGUGUGCUUUAAAAAUGCAUACUAUUGUUGGAUGGUUUCUCUAUAGUCGCUAUUUCUUCCAUUUUUUCUUGAAUUUUCCAGCAUAUGAACCAUCACUUGAAUUUCAUGUGCAUUGGUUGAGACGUGCCUUGCAUGUGCAUGUUUACUACAAGAUCAUGCUAAGCAGUAUGUCACUCAUGUAUUAACUAUCCAGUAAUGACAGUAAAUUUUUUAAGUAACAAUGGCCUAUUAAUAAGCCAAAAUUCUUCACCUGUGAGGUAGCUCUAGAAGCUUUAAUUUCACGUCAACCGAUUAUUUUGAUUUUACACUACAGUUUCUGUUCACUUGUUAUAUAUGUUGGGACUGUUGAUAUUUUUUGUGAUUUGCAGUUACUCACAACGGAUUUAUGUUUGAUUUUUUGGAGUUUUUGCAGGUGAUACCUCAACCUUUAUAUGCAAGUGCCAAAAGAUCUCAGGUUGUAUAUAUUUCCUUUGAAAUACCAGGUUGUGUCCUGUUCUAAUGCCAGAUUAUCUGUAUUUUAAGCCUUUUUUCAAACAUCGAAGCUAGAUAUGAUGCAUCAAGUGAAGAAGUUAGGAUUCAUUCCAGCUUGCUGCAACCUUCAAGUGAGCCCAAUGUUUCUCCUUGUCUUAUGUUACUCCAAACAUUUUUUUCAUUAUUCCAUUGAAUACAUUUGUUUCCAAUUUUUCAAUGAAGUGAAAGUAAUGUGUAUAUUGUGUGUUUCAAUAUUUUUGCAGCUAUAUAUAUAUAUAUACACUAAAAUUAAUAUAAAAAGCAAUUUAUAAAUUAUUCGGUUAGUCGUGCGUUGCACGUGCAUGCUAACUAGUUACGUCACGUGACCGAAUGGUCGAGUUCACAAGGUAGGGCCUAUAAGGCCAAAUCACACGGGUACAACUAGUAGCAGAAUUCUUAGGGCUAAGCGGGUGCCCAUGCCAUCAGCCUACACCAAUAUGCAUUCUGACUCGGAAGCGUCCUAGUUAGCAGGGCGUCUCCGAAGACGUACUCUUCAACAAAUUUCGAUCCUUCCAUGUCUGGUCAAUAAUAUAACCAGUAUCAAGCCAAUGGGUACUUUUGAAUGUACUCGCAAACAGCCCAUGAUAUGAACAAUGCAAGUGAAGGGUAACAAUAAUAUGCAUCUUUGGUGGUCAACAACUUGGUUGUAAAUAAACAUGAUCAUGGAUAUGCAACAUAAGCUAAAUGUUGAUUUAGAGAACAGGUUACAGAUAUCAAUAUAUCUGUCGAGGGUUGAACACCCCGGGUUCACCCUAUAUGACAAGUCACCAAACUUGUCAUAUCAACUCUUCCAUAUUAACUCCAUUUACCACAUACUCACACACACUUGGUUUAUGCGGAAACGACUGGACGUAGUUUAAGCAGGAUUACCCAACUGUCCUUGACCGUGGACACGGCUAUUCGAAUAGUUUUACACUCUGCAAAGGUAGUACGCUAGACCCACAAGAUCCAGGAAACUUAUGUGUCAUCCACGACUCGCAGUAUAUAACAUACACGAGGUAAGUACCCGAUCAAUGCCUUUUCCCUGACGAUACUACACAAAGAGGUCCACUCGAUUGGUACCCAGCCCACAUAUUAUAUGUCUUACGAGCACCGACUCUGGACAGUAUCAACCAUGCGGGGACCAACGGUGUGCUUGGAACACAUAAAAACGGCAUAGUCGCCCUACCUGGCACGACCCCAUCACGAGAGAGACCACACAUCACUCCCGUCACUAGUAAUGUGGCUCUUUGCUAGCACCGACCAGACUAAUCAACAGAGCCCCGUCCCAUAAAGGGGUAAUGUGGUUGUACAGGUAAGGUUGGGAUGGUCGACACAUCAUAAAUCUUAUCCCAUUUCCGAAACCAUACACACUCAAAAUACCCGGUGCACCACUUCUCCGAAAGUGGCCACCUAACUCAUCAUCACCUUCGGACAUUAGUGGCACCCGAUGGGGGUUUUCAUAAAUCUUUGACUUAUACCAACAACAUGCUCAUGCUACUGCUAUUCUAGAUUUACUUGUCAACAUGAUAUUAGCGUGACCCUCAUACGUGGUAGGAUCAUGCUCAAAAUGCAAGUGCUCCGGAGGAGCCUUCGGUAACAUCACUUCAAUGAUUUACCGACUCUUAUGAACAUAUGCAACGAAAAUAUUUGCUACACUAGCAUGCAAUAUAACAUAUGCUCAGUCAUGGUCAAAGGGCUACUUGGCUUGGUCUGAUAGGUAUCCGGGGUCUUCGAGGUCUUCCGCUCCAACUCCUUCGUCACACGGGUUUUCUAUCACCGUAAUAAAUAAAUGCAAUAAGUAGCUCAGUGCAAAAUAGAUCAAAAAAUCACUUUAAAAAUGUUGUUUAAUUCUGAUAAAUCCAUAUUAUUAUUUAAAAAAUAUUUGUCUCUGGUUUUAGUGAAAGAAUAUUUUUAAAAUCCAUAUAACAGAAGCAAAACUAUUCCAAUUUAACCCUUUUUAUUAUUAUAAAUAGAAUAGUUGUUGCAAAAAUUACUUUAAUGAUUUUGUUAAAUACUACAUGUGUUUAGAAAAAUAUCAGUGGAAAAAUCAUAUUAUUUCACUGGUUAAAUAUUUUCACAAAAAUCAUUGAAAAUCAAGUUUCAAAAAUAAAAGAAAAGGCCUACAGCCCCUGGCUUGGCUUGGCCUAGAACUGGGCCGGCCCACUGGCUGUGACAUCCCCGGAUUUGUGCUACAAUAACCCAUGUAGUCAAGCGACAGUAAUCCACGCUAAUGAAGCCACGUCAUCAUAAAUUCUAUCAUUGAUCUUGUGUUAGUCGAAAACCAAGUCGAGUUCAAAAUUUAUAAAAAUAAAGUCGAACGAGAAACGUUUUGUGAUGUUAAGUAAAAAUGUCGGAAGAGUUAUUGAAAUUCCCUAACAAGUUAAAAAGUGAAUCGAGCAUUUUUAAUGAUAUUAAAAGUCCUAUAUAGUUAGAACAGAACGAUAUAUAUAUAAUUCAUAAUAAUAAUAAUAGCAUGUCAGAAAGUAAAAGAAAGAAAAACAAAUGAUAAUAAAAAAAUAAAAAAAUAAAAAAANNNNNNNNNNNNNNNNNNNNNNNNNNNNNNNNNNNNNNNNNNNNNNNNNNNNNNNNNNNNNNNNNNNNNNNNNNNNNNNNNNNNNNNNNNNNNNNNNNNNCGUCCUCAUCUUGCUUGUUUCGGAAAAUCCACUUGGUGCCGAUGAUGUUAUGCUUGCGAGGAUCUGGUCGUUUGACGAGCUCCAUACGUCAUUCAGCUUGAAUUGAAGAAGUUCGUCUUGCAUGGCUUGGAUCCACUCUGGUUCCAGAAAUGCCUCAGCUACUUUUGAGGGUUUUGUGAUAGAUACAAAAGAAAAAUUCCCACAAAAGUUAACUAAGUGUGAAGCUUUUGAGCGAGUGAGAGGACCUGGCGCGUUGAUGUCGUUGAGGAUUUUGUCAAGUUCUACUUCAUUUGCAAUCCUCGGAUGAGCUGGUUGAGGAUUUUGUCUGGGCUGAGGAAGUGGUGCUGUUACAAUUUCCUCAGGAGCAUCUUCUUGUCUUUCAUCAGCGAUGGGGAUCGUUUCUUCGUCAAUUUCCUCAGUGGGGACAAUGUCUUCAGUAGGCUUAAGCUUUAUUGCUUCUUCAGGAGACAGCUUAUCUGGAUCAGAAGGCAAUUUCUCUGUUUGCGAGCCAUUAGUUUCAUCGAACUGCACAUCUACAGUCUCAACAACUUUGUUGUGAUAGUUGUUGAAGACUCUAUAGGUGUGCGAGUCCUUUCCAUAACCGAGCAUAAAACCUUCAUGUGCCUUAGGUGCAAAUUUUGAGCUAUGAUGAGGAUCUCUAAUCUAGCAUUUUGCGCUGAAGACUUUGAAAUAACUUACAUUGGGUUUCUUGUCAGUGAGGAGUUCAUAUGAGGUUUUCUUGAGGAAUUUGUGAAGAUAUACCCUGUUGAUGAUAUGGCAUGCAGUAUUGAUUGCUUCAGCCCAGAAGCGACGAGGAGUCUGAUAUUCUUCAAGCAUAGUUCUUGCCAUCUCAACCAGAGUCCUGUUCUUUCUUUCGACGACACCAUUCUGCUGAGGAGUAUAAGGAGCAGACAAUUCGUGAGUAAUACCAAGUUCAUCAAGAUAAUCAUCAAGACCAGUGUUUUUGAACUCAGCUCCAUUAUCACUCCUAAUAUGUUUGAUCUUGAUGCCGAAGUUCGUCGAGGCCCUUGAAGAAAAUCGUUUGAAGAUUUCCCGCACUUCAGUUUUAUACACUAUGAUAUGCACCCAAGUGUAUCUGGAAUAAUCAUCAACUAUGACAAAGCCAUAUAGAGAUGCUGCAUUGGUUAGUGUUGCAUAGUGUGUAGGUCCAAAUAAAUCCAUAUGAAGCAAUUCAAAUGGACGUGUAGUGGUCAUGAUGGUUUUGGAGGGAUGCUUGGAUCUGGUCAUUUUCCCAGAUUCACAAGCACCGCAGAGAUGAUCCUUGAGGAAUUUGACAGAUUCGAUGCCAAUGACAUGCUUCUUCUUUGCAAGUGUGUGCAAAUUCCUCAUGCCUGCAUGACCUAGUCUUCGGUGCCACAGCCAUCCUUCUGAGGUUUUUGCUAGUAAGCAAGUGGCUGGUUGAGGACCUAUAGAGAAGUCAACAAUGUACAAAUCCCCUCUUCUUACACCUUCGAAGACUUUGGAUCUAUCAGAUUCCAUGAUGACUACACAUCUAUAUCUACCAAAGAUAACAAUCAUAUCAAGAUCACAAAGCAUAGAGACUGACAUGAGGUUAAAACCAAGGGAUUCAACAAGCAUCACUUUGUCCAUAUGCCUAUCCUUGGAAAUAGCUACUUUGCCAAGUCCCAAUACCUUGCUUUUACCUUUGUCAGCAUAUGUGAUUUGCUUCAGAGGUGAUGGAGUUAGUGGCAUAUUCAUCAGUAAGCUUUUAUCACCAGUCAUGUGAUGUGUGCACCCACUAUCGAGAACCCACUCAGUAUUUUUGGGUUUGUCUUCCUGCAGAUGAAUUAGUACAGCUUACCAUCUCAUAUGCUUCAGAUUUGAAGAAUAUGAUACUAAUUUCAUCAGUUCAGUAAUUUCAUCAUAACAGAAAUGUAAGGACGUGUGAAAUAUUUCUAUUUCAUCAAUCAUUAGCUUGCGUCCUAUCAAGCAUUUCCUCAGGUCUCCAGCAAAUUCUUCAGAUGAUGAUUUUCAUCUGGAGACCUGACCUGCAGAAGUGAUUAGUUUGAUUUCUUCACCACCCACAUCUGAAGGGGUGGCAAAGCGUUCAUCAUCCUGCGAGCACCAUAUGAGAAAGGUUGCAUUGAAGCUAAUGCACUUCUCUUAACAGUAGGGGGGUUAAAGUACUCAUAUGAGUAUGCAGAGAACUGGUUUGAGGAUUUAUGAACAUAAUGAUUUGAGGUGUAGCACUCAUAAUCAUAUUCCUUGUAGUUUCCCUGCAUGUUGGAUGCAUAAGCAUGGGUACGAGCAUAGUUUUGACCAGUUGAGGAUUUUGAUCCUCUUGAAGACUUUGGUCCUCCUGAGGAAUUUGAUCUGGGGUUCAGAUUCUUCAGAGGUGAUGUCAUGAGGACAUUCACUUGAAGAUUUUCAAGACAACUUUUGGGAACCCAGAUUUUCCUCAGAGGAGGGCCAUUCCUGUAGUUAGUUCCAACAUAUCGAGCAAAUACUUCACCAGAUUGAUUUUUGAACAGUUUAUAGUUGGAAUCAAAUGACUCAUCAGAGGAAUAGGAUAAUUCACAUGAGAAGCCAGUUAGAUUAGAUGGAUCAAAAGGAGGCCGAGUAGCAGCAACCCAUGAGGUUUUGGGAUACUGCUCAGGUUUCCAAUAAGAUCCAUCAGGAUCCAAUUUCCUCUCAAAGGCAAUUCCUUCUUUCCUUGGGUUCCUGUUCAAGAUCUGCUUUUUGAGCACAUCACAAAGGAUUUGAUGUCCUUUGAGGCUUUUGUACAUGCCUGUCACGUACAAUUCCUUCAACUCUGCAUUUUCAUCAGUGACAUUUAUGUUUUCCUCAAGUGAGGAAAUAGACACAACAGGUGCAGUUGAAGAAUUUGUAGCAGUGGUAGCAUUUGAAGAUUCUGGUGAAGAAUUAGCAGUUUCACGAUCAAUGCAUUUAAGACAUGGAGGAAUAAAUUCAACUUGACUAGCGCUGAUCUGUUGAGCUAGUAAUGAAUCAUUUUCGAUACGAAGAUCAUCAUAAGACAUCCUCAGCUUCUCAAGAUCAAGCUUCCUUUGAAGAAAUUCGUAGGAAAGCUUCUCAUGAUCAGUGAGGAGUGUAUCGUAACGAUCCUGAAGAAUAUCAAAUCUAGACUGAAGAUUUUUCAUGUCAUCAGCGAGGAUUUGAUUAAGAUUCAUUUCAUCAUUCAACAGAUCAUCACUUUUGUCUAGCAGUUUUUGAAGCUUUUCCAGAGUAGUUUGUUGUUUAGUGGCAAUGAUGGCAAGUUUACUGUAACUGGGUUUUUUGUAAUCAUCAUGUUCACAGUCACUUGAAUCAGAGGAGGAGGCAUUAUGUGAUACCUUUGAACCUUUUGCCAUGAAGCAAUAAGUUGGAGCAAAGUCAUCGGCAUAGUCGUCAGUAUGGAUGGUACACUCAUUUUCUUCAAGAUUGAAGAUUGACUUGCUGACGAAAUUUGUAGCUGGUGCAAUACUAGCCUGUCCAGAUUCUGAAUCUUCUCCAGAGCCUUCUUCAUCAUCACAUUCUUCUGAUUCUGCCUCAGAAUCCAUUUCCUUGCCAAUAAGUGCCCGAGCCUUUCUGAAGCUAGUCUUCUUGUGUGAGGAGGACUUUGAAGAUGAGGAUUUUGAAGAUUUCUUCUUCUUCUUUGAGUCAUCAGAACUGUCAUCCUUGUAUUUCUUCUUCUUUGAUUCCUUUCCCCAGCGAGGACAAUCAGCAAUGUAAUGACCUGAUUUCUUGCACUUGUGACAGGUCCGUUUCUUGUAGUCCUCAGAUGCAGAUUCUGAUUUCCUCAUGUCUCUUCUUGAUGAUUUACCGAACUGGCCUCAUCGUGUAAAUCUCUGGAAUUUCCUCACAAGCAUUGCAAGUUCCUGACCAAAUUCUUCAGGGUCACAACUGUUGUCAUCUGUAUCUUCUUCUUCUGAUGAGGAAAUUGCUCUUGCCUUCAGUGCACGUGGUCUGGAAUAGCUUUGUCCAUAUAGAUCUCUCUUUUCUUCUAGCUGGAAUUCAUGAGUAUUUAGCCUUUCGAGGAUAUCAGCAGGAUCUAACAUCUUGUAGUCUGGUCUUUCUUGAAUCAUCAGAACUAAAGUGUCAAAUGAAGAAUCCAAAGAUCUCAGCAGUUUCUUCACAACUUCGUGAUCAGUGAUGUCUCGAGCUCCCAGUGCUUGCAGUUCAUUUGAUAUGUCAGUGAGGCGAUCAAAGGUGUCUUGGCAGCUUUCAUUGUCAUGUCUCUUGAAGCGAUUGAAGAGAUUGCGAAGAAUAUCAACACGAGAGUCACGUUGGGUUGAUACUCCUUCAUUUACCUUGCACAGUCUCUCCCAGAUCAGUGUUGCAGAGCCUAAGGCACUUACUCUUCCAAACUGGCCAGGGCUCAGAUGACAACAGAUGAUGUUCUUCGCUUGAGAAUCAAGUUGCUUGAAUUUCUUCACAUCAGCUGCAAUGACACUAGCAUAAAUGAUGGGGACACCAUUUUCCACAAUAUACGAGAGAUCAUUGUCUAUAGCUUGCAGAUGCAUUUGCAUUUUGUUCUUCCAGAAGGGAAAGUUCUUUCCCUCGUAGGUAGGACAUGCUGCAGUCACCUUAAACAUGCCUGCAGUCGACAUAACUAAAACUCCAGGUGGUUAGACCAAAAUCACACAGAACAAGGGAGUACGUUGCUCUGAUACCAAUUGAAAGUGCGUUAUAUCGACUAGAGGGGGGGUGAAUAGGAGAUUUUUAGAAUUUCAUCACUGAGGAAAUUCCUUUUGAGGAAAUUCCUCACUGAUGACUAACUUACAGCGGAAACAGUUAAGGAUCAGUCGUGCAAUCGUUCACAACAGCAGUAUUACAGAGUGAAGAUUAUCAAAAUGGAUUGCAUAGUAAGCAGGCACACAGAAUACAGAUGAUCAUUAACUCAAGUGAAGAAUUUGGGGUUGAGGAAAUUCAGAGAAAGUCUUCAGCAAAUUCUUCAAACAGUCACAGUGAAUGUCAUCAACACAUAAUACAGAGAAUGUAAAGAGUUGAGGAAUUAGAACCUGAUUCUUGGUGAAGACUGUUGUUGAUGUCCCAGUUCCAACUGCUGUGACAGUUGUACAUCUGGUUUGGAGCGGCUUGGUAUUUAAACCAAAGGACACCCAGUCCCGGGACACACAGUCCCUACCGUAUUCUCCUUGAGCUAAGGACACACAGUCCUCGCCCAACACUCGUGGUAAGUCUUCAGGGCAGACUUCCAAACCCUCACAAACUCGGUCACCCGGCGAUCCACAAUUGACUGCUGGAUUGCUCUAGACCAUGACGCCUAACCGUCUGGAGGAUGCACAGUCCUCAAAGGUAAAAGGCUUCAGUCCCACACAGGAACAACUUCUUCAGUGAUGCUCAAUCACUAGGUUUGGUUUGUGGUUUCGGUGGGUGGUGUAUUUCCUCACUGAUGAUUUACUCUCAUAGGCUCUGAGGAAUUUGGAUUGCUCUUAUGACAAGUGUCAGUUUCUAACGGAGCAGCCAACUAGCUAGUGGUUGUGGGGGGCGGCUAUUUAUAGCCUGGGAGCAUCCCGACAUGAUUUGACAUUAAUGCCCUUAAAUAAUAUGACCGUUGGAGUGGAUAAGACCAGUGACUUGGCGUGGCUAUCGAAACGGUCGGGACCCUCAACUGAGAGAGUCCUCAUGUCACUCAUAUUCCUCACUUGAGGCUUUUGGUAGGAUUUGGCUUGGGUUGAGCAUCAUGAGGAAAUUCAUUCCAUAGCGUUACUUUGACCCCCUUUAACAGUAUGGUGUUCCUAUUCAUCAAAUGGGAAGAAAGUAAAACAGAAAACGUAAAUCUUCACGCUUCAAUUUCUUCAAAAUCAUUUUCUUCACGAACCACCGAUCUUCUCAAUAUCCAUAUCUUCAUGAGGAAUAUCAAUUUCAUCGCAGAUUCCUCGUGAUUCAUUUCUUCAGCUUCAGACCAAUUUCUUCAACUGAAGACAUUCAUUUUAGGGGUCGAUAUUCUUCAAAUAUCUCAAACUCCUCAAUGACUUAUAGAUCAUGUGUACACUCAACAACACAUUAGAUACUUAACCUAUAAGUCUUCAAACCACCAAAAUCACUAAGGGGCACUAGAUGCACUUACAAUCUCCCCCUUUUUGGUGGUUGAUGACAAUUAGGUUAAGUCUUCAACAGGGAAUAAAAAUGUGAAGUGUAAAUACUCAAUUGAGGAAUUUGAAGACAAGAUUCACAGAGACUCCCCCUGAAGAUGUGCAUACCUUGAGGGUUUUGCUUUUAUAGCAUAUGCACAUUGAUGAUUUAUAUCAUAGAGAUCUCCCCCUGAAUCUUGUAAAUCAUGCAUACAUAUAAUAUAUUAUAUGAAGAAUAUGAAGAUGCAUGAUGGCAAAUGGUAUCUGACGAAUUCCAGCAUGCGUGCAUUGAAACUUGAGGAAUAAGCAUGCGAAGAAAAACGUUCAAAAGGCGUCAGAGUACCAUCGGGCUUAAGUUACAACUCAUUACAUAAAAACUUCAGAAGAGCCAAGAGUUUGUAACUUAAAUAUAGUUCAUAAGCCCAAAAAAUAAAUCCCGUUUGAAGACUAACUCUCAAGUUUCUCCCCCUUUGUCAUCAAGUGACAAAAAGGGACAAACUGAGGACUAACGCCCGUGAAGACUUCAUUUCUUUGCGGUUGAUGAAGAUCCUUGGAGCUUCUUGGGUGUAGUCUUCUUCCUUGGGCCUGUUGCGGUGUCGAGCUUUUCCUCAUCAGAUUCGGCGGUGCGGAAGGACGAGAAGGAGCUGUCUUCAAGAUCUGGCACUGGAAUGGGCCUGAACUUCUUCUUGGGAGGCCACGACCAGUCAAAGUCCUGCUCAAAGUUCAAUUCUUCAAGCUCAGUUUGGGCUUCAGAUGUGCAAGGGUAGCCCAGGUGCGAUCAAAAACCUCAUGCAGAUAUUGAUGAUUAAGUUUCACAGAGUUCUGUGUCUCAGUGAGGGUUUUGACAAUGGCACCAAAUUGGCGUUUGACCCAUUUGUGGUUGUGAUCCACCUUCUGAUGAAGACUGAGGAGAAGCUCUCUGGUGUUUAGCACGCGAGGAGGAACAUGGCUUGGUGGACGAGUCUCAGCAUCGUCCCAUGAGGAAUAUGCAUCUGGCUCUUUAAAUUGACCAUCAAGAGGCCUGCUGCCUUCAUCAAUCACAGACUUUCCUUUUCCCUCAAUGGGCUCGAAAGUCUUCUUGUUGACCCGGAUAGGAGGCAUAUAACCAACAUGGUUCUGGAAGUCUGCGUGGAAGUUGAUGCCUGUCCUUGUCCUGAGGAAUCUCAUGAUCCAUGGUGCAUAAAUUUUGUGAUCAUAGGGGCACAUUGCAUUGUCAGCCAAAGUCCUCAAGAAGAAAUCAUGGAUAUUCAUCGGGAUACCGUGAAUGAUGUUGAAGAGGAUAUUCUUCAUGAGGCCGACGACAUCUUCUUCAUCGUCAUGGCCUUUGAUGGGCGCGAGCACACUGCAGAGAAUGCGGUAGACAGACCGGGGUGUGUACUUGAGCUCAUGGAUGAGGAAUGUGGUUCUUGAGGGCUUUCCUGCAGCCAAAGGCUUCAUGAGGACUUCCAUCAUUCCAUUUGGUAGCUCACGCUCACCAUAAAGCUUCACUGCCCCUUCUGAAGGAAUUGGUACGGGCAGUUCUCUGAGGAGUUCAGACGCUGGAGCCUUGUAGUGAUUGUUUUGGGUCAUCCAGUCGAACACCCAAGUAUUGAUGUCAUCAGCAUUGCCCGAAAUAUGCAGAGUUGCAUAGAACUGAAGAAUAAGCUCACUAUUCCAAUCUGAUAUGUCGGAGCACAUAGGGAGCAAACCUGCAUCAUGGAGUACACUGAUGACUGGUUCCAUGCAGGGAAUUUUUCAAGUUCAUCAUGAGGAAUGUGCCUGUGCUGGAAUAUCUUGUUGCAUCCACAGAGCACAGAAGCAUAGUAGUUCAUCUGAGUCCUUGUCCAAAACUUCAGAUGCCUCAUUUGAGGCUUGUCAUAAGGAUUCUCUCCGAUGAAAUACAUGCGUUCCUCAAAGAAAUUUUCUUUCUGAAACUUGGGCCGCUUUGAGAAUGGCUGGCGUUGAACUGGCUCGAUAGUGUGCUGAGGAAUGGGUGGGGAAACAACCAUGGUAGUCUCUGGGUUGAGCACAAUGAAUUCAUUGUCAGGGACGAGAACAUUUUCUUCAGCAGUGUCCUCAGAUUGAGGAAUUUCAUCAGCUGGUAUUUCUUGCUCUGGCUGAGCUUCAGGCUGAGGAAUUUCUUCUUCCUCCUCAGCUUGAGGAGUUUGGUUAGCCGGUUCAGUGGGAGGAGCCUGCUCAGACUGGACAUAUUCUUCAGCUUGUUUUUCAUCAGCUGACUUUGUGGCAGAAGCAGAUUCAUCAGCUGCUGCAGCUGAAGCUUGAGUAGUCUCUUUCUGAGGAAUAUGAGGUUGAGGACUGUCAUCAAUCUUUAUUUCCUCAUCAGUAUGCUCCUCAGAGACAGCAUCCUUCAUUUCCUCAUCUGCCCUUGUAGUUUGGUCACCAAUGACGACCAUUUCAUAUGAAGGUGCAACAUUUAGAGGCACCGGGUCCAGAGGGGCAGAUUCUUCAGUUUCCUUGAGGCGUUUUGCCUCGAUCUUUUCUUCUGCUGAGGAAGCUUUUCUCUUCUUCGCUUCCUUCUUAGCAGCUCUUGUCUUUUUCGCAUCUGAUGCAUACGAGAUUAACUUCUUCACCUUUGAAGCUUUUGGUGAAGGUGUUUUCUCGACAGAUUCUUCAGCUGGCAGUGAGGAACCAGCUGGAACAGAGUCAUCAGCCUGCUUUGGUGAAGCAGCUGGAUCAGGAGCAGUUGCAUCAGGGGUUGCAGUUUCAUCAGUGGUGGUCUUGGUGAUGAUUUCUUCAAUGGCCGGCUCAUCAGCUCGGCGCUCUUGGUGUUGUUCCUCACUUUGAGGAAUUUCCUCCUCAUCAGGAGAUGCAUCUUCUGGCUGUUCAACCAGGGGCUGAGGAGUUGGUGCUGGUUGUGGGUGUCGCUUGUUGUAGUCAUCAAAAGCACUAGUGUCUAGCUUGAUGAAAUUGCGUUUGAUGCUAGUGCGGUCUGACAGUUUCUCACACUUGUCAGUCAAGACUUGCAGCUCUACGUGGGUGGACACCAAUGCGUGAGGCGUCAGCUUGAGGACAUUUUGCCUGAGGAAUUUCUCCUUUCUGGCCUUUGCAAUCUUUGCCUGCUUGGCCUUCUGUUCCUUCCACUUGGCUUCGUUUAUGAAGGUAGCCACCAUGUGGCUGACGCCAGGAGGAAGUUUCAAAUCAUCAAUGGGUGUGUUUGGGUCUUCAUACCAUACAUUGAUGAAGUCGAGGAGGACCUUGGGGUCCAUGGCCAGAGGAAUAGCACUGCCUGAUGCUUGUGCUACCCGUUCUUGCUUGUUUCUGAUGAUGGCUUGCAAAGUUUCAUCAUCAUACUCAUCACUUCCCUCUGAUGCAGACGGGACUGCGAUGAUUUUGCUGGGGCUGGGCAGAGGUGCAGGUUCAGUAAUUGUCAAAGUCUUCACAAGGGGAGUUGAAGACUUUGUCUCCGAGCUCGUUGCAGCUGGGAGUGAGGAGCUGGAGCUGGCAGUCGUAGUCUUCACGACUUUCUUCUGUACUGGGUUUGGAGGUGGAGCUGAGGACUUUGGUGUAGAUGAGAUGGGUGCUGAGGGUUUUGGCGCUGAUGGUAUUGGAGUUGACGGUUUUGGAACCGAGGGUUUUGGAGCUAAGGAUUUUCGAGCUGAGGGUUUUGUGACAGAACCCUGUCCAGACUUCUCUUGAGGCUUUGGAGCCUUUGCCUUUGAUGGCGCAAACUGCUUUUGAGGAAUCUCUGAGCCUGAAGUUUCUGCUGCUGAGGAAUGAGCAGCACCGGAGGCAGCAGCUGAGGAUUCAUGAAAUUUCUUCACUGUUGUUUUGGCUUGCUUCUUGAGCUUGGCCAGAUGCCUUUCUUUUUCAUCUGGGUAGUCAUCAAGUGUCAUAAGACUUGAGGGAUGAGCUACUUGAUGAUCCUCAAGUGGAGCCCUUUUGCUAGGAGGCUUCAAAGCGAAUUUCUUCGCAUAUGUUGGGGUCACAAACCUGUACUCCUUCCACUCCUUUGCCCAUCUGCGUUCAAUUUUCUGCAGCCUGAUCUUUCUUUUAGGCAUUGUCUCAGGUUCAUCAUCAGGCGUGCAAUAGUCCAUGUAUAUGUCAUCAGGAAUAUCAACAGCUGUGUUCUGCUCUAGUUUCUUUCCUCCCUUCUGUUUCCUUUCUUCCUCCAUUUUCUUCAGACGAGGAUUUUGCUGAUGAUUUUGAACUCUUGAAGAUUCUGAUGAGCCUUGAAGAGUUUCUUCCAGAAACGCUGCAAAUGAGUUAAUGUGAUGAGAACCGAGAGAUUCAUCAGCUGACAUGUGUGUACCUGUGAACAGAGUAUAGUUGCGAGGAAUUUGGAGAGGUCAUAUGCGUUCUCAGAUUUUAAGAAAAUGAAAAAGUUUGACAGUUUGAGGAAUAUAACCAGUGGUUGAGGAAUUUGCUUAAGCAUACUGUUCUUGGGUUCCAGAGUUGUACAGAUCCGUAAAUUCGCACAAUUGAGGAAUCUCAUGAAAAUCUUAGAUGCUUAGCUAGUUCAUCAAUGAUUGUGGUGAUGGAUAGUGUUUGAGGAAUCAUGUGCGCAUUGUAUCUUGAGGAAAAAACAGAUUUCACAUGGGAGAGGUAAAAUUUCAGAUCUAAUCUGCUGUAAAAAUGGGAUAUAUUUACCCUGGAAGGUGCGAACGAAGAACACAAAAAGGUGGUGUUGGAGAGGCUCUUCGGUCAAGUGUCCAAUGCACCCUAACUUGGCAGCAGAGGACGUCUACGGCGGCGGCGGACGUAGAUGUUCUGACUCCGGCGUGAUCCUGGCGGCGAGAAGGUUGAGGCAGUGAAGCUCUUCCUUGCCGGCGACAAAACAACCAGCGGUGGCGCUAGGGUUCGAUGGAGAGUGUGAUGGCAGGAGAGCGAUGAGGCGAAGAAGAAGAUACUGAAGGGGUUAAGGACAUAUUUAUAGCCCGAAAGUUACUGUUUGGCGCAAAAGUUUCGGACCGAAUAGCCCUUGCCUCUACGUCUCCGCAGGACACGUGUAGCUCCCAUACGAUGCGGUGGAGAUAGUGGAGAUCGUGGUUAUCCGAUCGUGGGAAGUGGGGGUUCAGUUACUGUUCCUUUGAAGAAAACGAUUUUUGAGGAUUUUUGUUACAAAAUCAUCAGCUGACAAGGAUGCAGUGAGGAUUUUGAACAAAGUUUCAAGUAGAACGCAUAUGAAGAAUUGAAUAGACUGGGUAAGUAUAGCAUAGAGAGAAAGUAGGGUCCGAUCACAUUCACUUAGCAGAAACAUCAACUUGAAGAAAUAGCAAUAAGUGAAUGCUAUUGAGGACUAGAAAUCACAGUCUACCUAGGCAAAUGAAAGUCAUCAUGUUUUUUUUUAAGAUUUUGCAGUAGAUCAUCACAAUGAAGAAGAGCUGUUUUGAAGAAAAAUGCAUUGUGACGAAAUUGAUCAUUUGAAGAAAAUCAACUUGAGGAAUGUCACAUUGGGUGGUGGCGUUACCCACCCUAUAAGAAUGUUGAUUACAGACGCCGCGUACAAUUGUCGUAGGGCCCUGAGAAUCAAUUUCUUCAUUAAUUUCUUCACAUUCAGAGUGACUUUCUUCAUUGGUUGAAGAAAAUCGUUUCAUCAUGUGUUGCACAUCUAAGUCAUCAACUUUGCAUAAGUGUUAGGAUGUGUGCAUGUUUUUACAAAACAUUUGACGACUCUAAGAUAUUUAGCUCACACCGCAACUUGCAAAACCUUUUCUCAUCCAAGGGCUUAGUGAAGAUAUCAGCCAGUUGAUUAUCAGUCUUCACAUGGUCGAUGAGGAUAUUGCCCUUGAGGACAUGGUCCCGAAGAAAAUGAUGACGAAUUUGGAUGUGCUUGGUCUUCGAGUGUUGUACUGGGUUAUAUGCAAUCUUGAUAGCACUCUCGUUGUCACAGUAGAGAGGCACAUUCUUCAUGUUGAUGCCGUAGUCCUUGAGGGUUUGCUUCAUCCAUAGUAAUUGAGCACAGCAAGAACCAGCAAUGUACUCAGCUUCGGCAGUGGAGAGUGAUACGCAGUUCUGCUUCUUUGACGACCAGCAAACUAGUGAUCUUCCGAGGAAAUGGCAUGUGCCAGAUGUUGACUUGCGAUCCACACGGUCACCAGCAUAGUCUGAAUCAGAAUACCCUACCAGAUGAAGAUUGGAGCCCUUGGGAUACCAUAAUCCUAGUGUUGGUGUGUGAGCUAAGUAUCGAAGAAUAUGUUUCACAGCCUUAUGGUGUGAUUCCUUCGGUUUUGCUUGAAAACGUGCACACAUGCAAACACUAAGCAUUAUAUCUGGCCUAGAUGCACAUAGAUACAAUAAAGAGCCAAUCAUAGAACGGUAUACCUGCUGAUCGAAAUCUUUACCAUUUUCAUCAGUGCCGAGGUGACCGUUGGUAGGCAUUGGAGUCUUGGCACCUUCACAUUCAUGCAUGUCGAAUUUCCUCAGAACAUCCUUGAGGUAUUUCUCCUGUGAUAUGAAGAUUCCAUUGUUUUGUUGACGAAUUUGAAGACCUAAGAAGAAUUUCAGCUCCCCCAUCAUGGACAUCUGAUAUUCUUCACUCAUCAUAUAGGCAAAUUCAUCACUAUAUCUUUUGUCAGUACAACCAAAUAUGAUGUCAUCAACAUAUAUUUGACAUACAAACAGCUCAUUAUCAUAAGAUUUUGUGAAAAGAGUUGGAUCGAGUGAACCAGGUUUGAAGCCUUUCUUCAUGAGGAAUUGCUUCAAUGUAUGAUACCAUGCCCGAGGGGCUUGCUUGAGGCCAUACAGAGCCUUUUUGAGUCUGAAGACUUUGUCUGGAUUCUUUGGAUCCUCAAAACCUGGGGGCUGAGCAACAUAUACUUCUUCCUCAAGCUGACCAUUGAAGAAUGCACUUUUCACAUCCAUUUGAUAUAAGAUGAUGUUAUGAUGAUUAGCAUAAGCAAGUACCAUUCAAAUAGCUUCAAGUCUAGCAACAGGUGCAAAAGUUUCAUCGAAAACUAUUCCUUCAACCUGGGUGUAGCCUUGGGCUACAAGUCGUGCCUUGUUCCUCACCACUUGACNNNNNNNNNNNNNNNNNNNNNNNNNNNNNNNNNNNNNNNNNNNNNNNNNNNNNNNNNNNNNNNNNNNNNNNNNNNNNNNNNNNNNNNNNNNNNNNNNNNNAGCUAAUUAUGUCAUUAGAUGGAAGUCUAGCUAUUUUUUAUUAAAACACUAGAAAUAACAUACCUAAGUUAGGGUGAAGCACGGUGGCUCUGGCUUGUUUCACCUGUAGAAGGCUGCCCUGGAGAAGGCUCGACUGUAAAAGGGUCGUGCGAUGCGUUUCGGGACAUAUUCUGCACCAAACGUCGUUUGCAAUGUGUAGUUAGCAUGAGGACACUCUUAAGAUCACUCCACUGAAAUGAAACUCACCGUCCCCGCCACGUUAAUGACUGGCAUCGGCGGAGGGACUUGGCCGUUCUUCUCGCACAUAGACUGUACAUUUUGGUUUCGACAGGUCAAACUUUUUAUUUAUUAAUGAAACGGACAUUCAAAUGCAAGAUUUUAAAUAACAUGAAGAAGAAACUUACCACGAAGAGCUCGUAUAUGGCCCUGGUAGACGCUUCAUUCCGUGCCCUCUCCGCCUCCACCAAUGCAGUCGUCCUCUCCUCCAGCUCCCUAAUUUCCUUAUCCUUCUCCGCCAUAGCCGCCUGCAUUGCCGCUCUCUCUUUCUGAAUAGCAGCCUGCAACACAACUCAUUGUUAGCAAUGUAAUCAUAUUGGUUCCAACUCACAACAUAAUGCGGAAAGAUAGUUGAGUCCAUUAAACUAACCUCGAUGGCGAGCUCGACUGGCCGUGGACGACGUGUUAUCUCCGGACAAGAGCUCGUUUGGCGUGCCUUUAUCUGCCGGAGAGUGCUAGGACAACGUAUAAGGCCGUCUCCAAUGGCGAUCGAGCCAUGGGGCCUCCCGUUGCCAGCUAUCAUCACCAGCUCUGGAUCAAUAGGCCCCUCGCUCGGGUUAAAGUCCUCCCCUUUCCUCGCCUUCCCGUGAUCUCUAUACUUCACGAGCUUGUCGUGGGAGGAGAUGUUGGUGAAGUUUUCUGGAUGCUCGAGGUCAGACUCAGAGAAUGCCUUGACCUUCUUGUACGAGGCAGUAUGGGCCAUCGCAUACAGGUCGUACAUCUGUGGCGCCUCCGUCUUAUUGUGACGCGCCUAAAAGAGAGAGAGCAGAAAAUUGUAUUGGUAAAGGGCUCAAGAUAGCAUUAAGAAUGAAUUGCAUGAGGCAUGAAGCAAACCACAUACCCAGUUCUCGCCAAAUUGGAUUAAGUUGACGCUCCCUUGAUGGUGUGGCACGCCAACCAUUUUGCCACGCCUCUCCUUGGCGUUGUUGUGGCUGGUCUCCCACGUUUCGGAGCACCACUGAUCCACCAAGGCCUCCCAACAAUCCAUCUUAUCCACACACCAUCUCGGGGGCACCUAAGUUAAUAAAGAGAAAUUUGAGUGCGUAAGAACCAAAUCAAGGAAACUAACUACAAAGCCUUAAUAAUAUGUAAUUACCUUCAUGUAAUUCUCCUUCUCCAUCUUAGCAUCACGGCACUUCGCCUUAUCAAUCCUAAUACGCCGCGUGGCAUAGUAGUCUCGAACAGCCUGCACCCGAGCCUCGUGCCGAAAGUUUUGAAGUAGGCGGCGACAUUCGGUUUCGAUAACCUUUGCCGCGUCGUCCUCGUAUCCCUCCUCACACUUGUAGAAGGUCUGCAAACGAGACAACACCGAUUAGUACAAUAAAUAGCUAUGGUUAAUUUAUAAUUGUGUGAAAGAGAAAUUACCCAGAACUUUCGGAUCACCAUGUCCGCCCUCGUGUCACACAAAACACCGUCGAUCUCCACCUCCGGCGGGGCCGGGGCACCCAAGUAGUGCUCCCAGGUCAUCCCUACCUCUCGCUCCCGACCGGGCAACGUAACAAACCCUGGGAAGUUUUGACGGCAAAGAACACCAAGGACGCUGUUGGGCUUGCGGACACCCUUGGCAACAAUCCAACCCCUACAGUACGACAAAUUGAAGCCAAAACAUUAGAUAUUUGAGAAAACGCGAAGGCAAAAGGUUAAAUAAGAUUAAAUUAACUUACUUGUCCCCAUUUGGCCUAAUCGACCACCUCUGGUCGGGGGUCGCUGGCACGAGCGGGAGCCCCGAACUACCACGCUGGUAGACGGUAUCCCCCUCACCCAGCUCCUUGUCGCUACCAGCAUGGCCAGUUGGCUCAGGCCAGGUAUCCCACUGGGUCUCUUGGGACGUACCCUCAUCCCUGCUGUGCUCCGCAGUCGUCUGGAAGGAAGCCUCUGGGACACGAGUCUCGUGGGUCGAAGGCUCGUCGACCUGAGGCUCGUCGACCCGAGGCUCGUGAACCGGAGACCGUGUAGCCUCCACCUCAGACGAAUCCACCCUAGAAGUCCUCCUGUGCUCAGGUGAAUCAGCUUGGGGUGGUGGCGGAGACCGUGUAGCCCUACCUCUCAUGCGGCCACGUGUACCUUUAGUACAACAUAAAUACCAACAUGAGUAAUAAAAUGUAUAUAAAUACCAAUAUGCAUACAACAUGAGUACAACAUAAAUACCAACAUGAAUACAACGUGUACCUUUAGUGCCUCUCGGCUUCGCGGGUGGUCGACCUCCUCUCACGGGGGGCGCUCCGUGCAUAGUAGAGAGCAACACUCUCCGAAGAGGCGAGGCAGGAAUGGAAGUACCCAUCCCAUCACCCGCCGACGAAGAAGCAGCCGCGGCGUGCUUUCGACCCUUUCCCACCAUCUUUCAACACCUGUCAUGACAAAGAGUAAAUAAAAUUAGUACAACAUAAAUNNNNNNNNNNNNNNNNNNNNNNNNNNNNNNNNNNNNNNNNNNNNNNNNNNNNNNNNNNNNNNNNNNNNNNNNNNNNNNNNNNNNNNNNNNNNNNNNNNNNNNNNNNNNNNNNNNNNNNNNNNNNNNNNNAUAAAUACCAACAUGACUAAUAAAAAUUGAAUACCUAACAUGAACUCAAAAUUUAUAUAUAGUAUAAUAGUUGAAUACCUGACAUGAACUAAUAACAAUCGUCCUCGUCUAUAUAUGCUUCGGGGACAAUAAAUGCAUCAUGAUCAUCACUAUCAUCAAUAAAUGCAUCAUCAUCAUCACUAUCUAGAAGAACAUGUGGAAGGCCACCAUUAUGUAAUCGGUCAAGAAGUGACAGGUCAUCCGCAGCAGUAACCUCUUCUUCUUCCAGCUCUUCCUGUUCGGGCUCAGGGGUUAAGACGGAUUCACUGUCGCUGUCUACUUCAAUGUUCUGGGGUGAAGUAGAGCNNNNNNNNNNNNNNNNNNNNNNNNNNNNNNNNNNNNNNNNNNNNNNNNNNNNNNNNNNNNNNNNNNNNNNNNNNNNNNNNNNNNNNNNNNNNNNNNNNNNNNNNNNNNNNNNNNNNNNNNNNNNNNNNNNNNNNNNNNNNNNNUCUUGAAACGUUUCUUGGACAUACGUGUUUCUUGGAAGAAUUCUCCUUCAUAUGUGUCUGGGUUAAUGUGAGGUUCGUAAUCCUCUUCAUUGAGGGUAGGUGGUCUAAAAUGUGGUGGCACUUCAUAAACGACAUCCCAACCUUUGAGAUUUGGAUCAGUUUGGCAGGCCCAUGGUAGAUAGAAAACUUGUGUCACCUGUUGAGCCGUGAAAUAGACAUCGGGAACAUCUAAGUGGGUGUUUUGGUUGAUUUCGACUAGUCCUAUAUGUUCAUGAGUCCUUCUAGUCUCCCUCGGCUCAAACCAAUAACAUUUGAAGACUACGACGGUCGGUGGGUUUUCACCAUAGAAUAGAAGUUCAUAAAUUGCUUCAACCCUUCCAUAAUACUCGGUGUCUCCUUCGCCGAUAGCAGAGACAGAACAAUUUGUAGUCUUUAGGUCGGGCAUAGAUAGCUCUUUGCCAAAGGUACGAAAGUGAUACCCGUUGAUGUUGUAUUUGUCAAAUGAACGGACCUUAUAGUCAAAACCAUUAGCGACUUGUCUCAACUCGGCGUCCAUAGACUCUGCAUCAGCCUACAAGUUUAAUACGAAAGAAUGGAUGCAUUAGCCGCAAAUUAUACCAAUAAAUCGAAUGGGCCCUUAAUGGUAAUUGAUUACCCUUUGUUUGAACCAAGAGAUGAAACCAGGAUAGUCGCCUCCAUGCUUUGCGAGAAGCUCAUACUCUUCGACGGAAUCCUUUUCGAUGACCGCUCCAUCCGAGAAUUCGGCGACGUAUCGACUAUAUCAAAUAUCCGGGAAUAAGAGUAGUUCAAAGCAAUUAGAAGUUGUGGAACAAUAAAUUACCGAGAACUUACUCGAUAUACGGCCGCACUUCUGUUAGGUUGGUGAAGAUAUACAAUGAAAUGGUCCGCCAUUCUUCGACAUCCAACGAUUUCCCUUUCGAAGCACCGGAUGGUGCGAGCUUACCUUUGAAUAGGCUGAGGUUGGAUCGAACUUUUUCUCGAUCACCAUUAUUGUACCGAGGCUUCGGGUUAUGGAAAUGAUGAUUUUUGGCUUCGUAGUGUGCUGUCACGAAGUUUGCCGCCUCCUCAGUAAUGAAUGCCUCGGUCAUCGAUGCUUCAAUUCUACGUUUAUUUUUACACUUAGCUCGAAGCGUCUUCUGCAUCCUCUCAGUUGAGUAGCACCAUCGAUUUUGAACGGGCCCCCCAUUCUUGCCUCGGUCGGGAGAUGCAAAAUCAAAUGUUGCAUUGGAUUAAAGAAGCCCGGUGGAAAGAUCUUUUCUAAUUUGCAGAUCAACUCCGGCGCCAACUCUUCCAUUUCAUCUAGCACGCCAGGCGAUAGUUCUUUCGCACAAAGAGAACGGAAGAAAUAGCUCAGCUCUGCCAGUACUAGCCAUUCAUCCUCAGGGAUAAAGCCACGCAACAUCACCGGCAUUACCCGCUCAAUCCAUAUGUGCCAAUCAUGACUCUUGAGCCCAAAUAUUUUCAAUUUCUCAAGACUCGCUCCCCUCUUUAGAUUCGCAGCAUACCCAUCGGGGAACAUCAACCGCAUUUUCACCCACAAUAGCAUUUCCCUCAUAGCUGGCCUUUCAAGAUUGAACCAUGCUUUUGGCUUCGCUAUGCUUUGCUUUCCUUUCCGUUGUCGCAAGUUUUGCAACGGUCUAUCACAUAGAGCCUCCAGGUCGAUUCUAGCCUUAGGAUUAUCUUUUGACUUCCCCUCUAUGCCGAACAAUGUACCAAAAAUGGCCUCCGCAAUAUUCUUUUCAGUGUGCAUCACGUCAAUGUUGUGUGGGCAAAGGAGGUCUUUGAAGUAAGGGAGAUCCCAUAAGCAUGACUUGUGAGUCCACGCGUGUUCCGUAUUUUACCCUUUGAAGUAUCCUGGACGCAAAGGAUCAGGCUCAAGAGCGUUUAACUGAUCAAGGGUCUGUUGGCCUGUCAACGCAGCUGGUGCAGUGUUUUUGACAACUCUACCUUUGAUGAAAUUCUUCUUGUCUUUUCUGAACUUAUGGUCAGGAUCCAGGAAUUGUCUAUGCAUGUCGAAGCAAGAAUACUUGCGACCAGCCUGCAGCCAACGGAACUGAAGAGCUACCUUGCAUGUGGUGCACGGGAACCUUCCAUGCACACACCAGCCAGCGAAUAGCGCAAACGCCGGAUAAUCAUGCGUCGAGUACAUGUACCACACAUGCAUUUUGAAAUUUGUUUUGGUAGCCGCGUCGUAGGUCUUGAUCCCAUUAUCCCAGGCUUCUUGCAACUCAUCCUUAAGCGGCUGCAUGUACACAUUCAUAUUCUUCCCCGGAUAGUUGGGCCCUGGAAUUAUCAACGUCAGGAAAAUGUUCUUUCUUUUCAUAAUCUCUCCGGGUGGCAAAUUUAGUGGAAUGACAAAUACAGGCCAACAACUGUAUUGUGCUGCCGUCAUACCAUACACAUUGAACCCAUCCGUGCUGAUGGCAACUCUAGGUUGCCUUGGAUCUUCCGAUUUAUCCUUAUGUAAUGCAUCGAAGUGCCUCCACGCAAAACCAUCUGAAGUGUGUACCAGCAUCUUGUUCCCAUCCGCAUCUAGUUCGGUUCUUUUGCCCAAUUUGUGCCAUGUCAUCUGUUCGGUCGUCUCUUCGACCAUGAGAAGACGUUGAAGUCUUGGUACGAUUGGCAGAUAUCGAAGAACACUAAUGGGGAUUUUGGUCUGAUUCUUCUCACCCAUGCCGUUGUCUACCACAAUAUACCUUGAAGAAUUGCAAAUGGGGCAAUAGUUCAAGGCCGCAUACUCAAGCCUAAAUAAGGCACAUCCAUUCUCACAGGCAUGUAUCUUCUCAUAGGGCAUCUUAAGUACACGGAGGAUUUUCUCUGACUGGUACAGGUUUCCAGGCAGUACAUGGCCUUUGGGUAGAAAGCGUCCAAAUAUCGUCAUCAUCGCGUCGUAGCAUUCUCUGCCUAGGUUGAAUUGAGCCUUCAAAGCCAUUACUUGCGCGACGGCAUCUAGCUGACAAAGCUCAGUCUGCUCGUGGAGCGGACGUUUUGAAGACUCCAGCAUUUCAUAGAAGGCCUUUGCAGAUUCCUCCAUCUCAUCGUCCGAAUCACGAGCAUCAUCAAAGUCUUGCACCAUGUCUUCAAUCCCGGUACCAUGCUCGUCGGUGCGACGACGAAUCACCUCAGCUCUAGCACGUUGGUCAGACUCACCAUGAAAAGUCCACACCGUAUAAUUAGGCGUAAAACCCCACUUCUGCAAGUGUUUACCCAUUUCAAACUUUGUCUGCUUUUUCCAGUUGUCGCAGUUGGGACAGGGGCACCAUGUUUUAUGCUGGCCAUUUGCAAAUGCGGCUCUCACAAACCCCCUGGUUUUUGUUAACCAUUCAUGGGUCAUGUCUUUCUGACUAGGGUGACCAGUGUACAUCCAAGCACGAUCACUCAUGUUGCCUAGCUACCUAUGGGGGCACAAGAAAUAAAUAUAUAAUUCAUCAUCUAUAUUCAUACGCUAAUCAAGUUUGUCAGUUUUAUUACGUCCAUGCAACCUACACGCUAAUAGGUAAAGAUAGGUCCUAAUCCCACCCGAGUAUGUGUAGACUGGGUUCGUUUUCCCAUGCUCUGCUCCAGAUGCGACGGAGAAUUUCGACAGCACCUCCCCGCUGUUCUUUUGAUACACGUCUCGGCAAUAAGCAGAGAGGAUGUGUACCCGGAGAACAAUAGGGGAGGCACUGACGAAAUUCCGCAUCAGAUCCGGAGCACAGCAUACGGGAAAACAAACCCAAUCUACACAUACUCGGGCUGUCCAUGGAUAAUGUUGGACAAUUCGAAAGGAUGGCGGUUAUAAAUAUGCAAAGAAAUUCAUAUUUAUAGAUGUCGCCCUUUCGAAUGGGAGACACAUACUGGUCACGCAUACUCUUGAUUGAAGAAACCUAUAGCUAGCAAGUUUCAUCGGCACGAAGACCGGGACAGAGCAAAUUAAGGGGGUAGGAGGAGAAGUCAUUUGUGCUCACCAACAACGCAAGGGCGGAGCUCGUCCAACGCACGUGGAGGUCGUCGAACAACUGCACAUUGAAAUUCACCCGAUCAACACAAAUAUGAUGUUUUUAUAAUUAACAUAACUAUAUGACCUAACUCAUAACUAUGUGGGUCAGUGUCAUCGGGGGUCGAAGGUCACUGGCGUCGGGGAUUGGGGUCUUUUCGGUCAACAAGAGGCCGAAGAGGUGUCGGGGCUCGGGGGUUGGGGGUCAGUGGCGNNNNNNNNNNNNNNNNNNNNNNNNNNNNNNNNNNNNNNNNNNNNNNNNNNNNNNNNNNNNNNNNNNNNNNNNNNNNNNNNNNNNNNNNNNNNNNNNNNNNGGGCUCCCUGGAGCCCACCUGGCUUGGCCCAAAAGCCCCCUGGACUUCUUUCGUUCGGGAAAAAAUCAUUUCUGGGUUUUUCUUCCGUUUGGACUCUGUUCCAAAAUCAGAUCUGAAAAGAGUCAAAAACACGAAAAAACAGGAACGGGCACUUGGCACUGAAUUAAUAAGUUAGUCCCAAAAAGAUAUAAAAAGGUAUAUAAAACAUACAAAGAAGGCAAGAUAACAGCGCGAAACCAUCAAAAAUUAUAGAUACGUUUGAGACGUAUCAAGCAUCCCCAAGCUUAACUCCUGCUCGUCCUCGAGUAGGGAAGUGAUAAGAAUGAAUUUUUGAUGCUUUCAUGCUACCUAGCAUAGGUGUCCUUUGUAACUCUUAUGUGACGUGAAUGUUCAGAUCCAUUAGAUUCAAAACAAUAGUUUUCUAUUGACGUGGAAACAAUAAUAAUUCAAGCAAACUAGCAAAGUAAUCAUGAACUUUCAAAAUAACAAGGCCAAAUGAAAGUUAUCCCUACAAAAGCAUAUAGUCUGGCCAUGCUCUAUCAUCAUUGCACAACGAAUUUAAAUCAUGCACAACCCCGGUAUUGGCCAAGUAAUUGUUUCAAACCUUUACUUUCUCAAACAUUUUCAACUCUCACGCAAUACAUGAGCGUGAGCCAUGGUUAUAGCACUAUAGAUGGUGUGGAAUGUAGUGCAGGUUGCAAGACAAAAAAGGAGAAGAUAGUCACAUUAACUAGGCAUAUCAAUGAGCCGUGGAGAUGCUCAUCAAUAGAUAUCAAUGUGAGUGAGUAGGGAUUGCCAUACAAAUGAUGCACUAGAGCUACGAGUAUGUGAAAUCUCUUAAAGAAAACUAGUGGGUGUGCAUCCAACUUGCUUGCUCACGAAGACCUAAGGCAAUUUUGAGGAAGCCUAUCAUUAGAAUAUACAAGCCAAGUUAUAUAAUGAAAAUUUCCCACUAGCUAUAUGGUGGUGACAAAACGAGAGACUCUCAAUCAUGAAGAUCAUGGUGCUUAAUAUGCACAAGUGUGGAAAAAGUGGUAGCAUUGUCCCUUAUCUCUUUUUCUCUCCUUUUUUUGGUGGGCUCUUUGGCCUCUUUUUUUUAUGGUAUUCUUUGGCCUCUUUUAUUUCCUCACAUGGGACAAUGCUCCAAUAAUGAUGAUCAUCACACUUUCAACUCAAAACUUAGAGCAACUAUGACUCUAUAUGGAAUGCCUUCGAUAGUGUACCAUGGCAAUGAUCUAGCAUGGCAUAGACAUCAAUGGAAACAUCAUGCUAGCUAUCUUACGAUCAUGCAAUGGCAAUGUAGACGUGGUGGCACAUGUCAUGGUGGUAGUUGCAUGGCAAUAUAUCUCUGAAUGACUUUGAAAAAUCCAUAGUAGGUAGGUAUGGUGGCUGUUUUGAGGGAGGCUAAUGGUGGGUUUUGUGCACUGGCGAAAGUUGCGCGGUACUAAGAAGAUAGUGAUGGUGGAAGGUGAAAGUGCAUAUAAACCAUGGACUCAACAUUAGUCAUGAAGAACUCAUAUACUUUUUGCAAAAGUUUUAUUAGUAAUUGAAACAAAGCAUUCAACGCAUACUCCUAGGGGAAGGGUUGGUAGGUAUAAACCAUCGCGUGAUCCCGACCGCCACGCAAAGGAUGACAAUCAAUAGACUAAUCAUGCUUAGAUUUCAUCACAUAGCGGUUCACCAUACGUGCAUGCUACGGGAAUCACUAACUUCAACACAAGUAUUUCUAGAUCCACAACACCUUACUAGCAUGACUUCAAUAUUACCAUAACCACAACUCAAAACUAAUUGAGAUGAAUCAAACUUCUCUAACUAUUCAAUGCACAUGAAGGUGGAAGUUUUCGUAUCCCUUUGGAUAACUACCCCUUUUGAGACUACUCUCAAAGCAUAGAUCAACUACCAAGCCACGCACCACUGUGCUUUAAAAGGUAUAAGUUAAGCACAUAGAGCAAAAGUAUCUAGCUCAAAAGAUAUAAGUGAAGCACAUGUGAGCUGAAUUGUCUACCAAAAGAUAUAAGUGAAGCUCGACAAAAUCACGGUGUGUGCAUGUCUCUCUAUCUAGGUGUGCAGCAAAGAUGAUUGUGACACAAAAUAAAUAAAAGACUCCUACGAUACAAGAUGCUCCCAGCAAAAACACAUAACAUGUGGUGAAUAAUAAUAUAGCCCCAAGUAACGUUACCGAUGGAUUGAAGACGAGAGAGGGGAUGCCUUCCCGGGGCAUCCCCAAGCUUUGGCUUUUAUGGCAUCCUUGAAUCUCUUGCGGUGCCUUGGGGAUCCCCAAACUUGAGAUCUUUCCAAUCUUUAUCUUUUUGUCCAUAAGAACUUCACCCAAAACUUGAAAACUUCACAACACGAAACUUAAACAGAAACUCGUGAUAACAUUAGUACAAGAAAGCAAACCACCACUUCCUUAGGUACUGUAGAAAACUUAAAUUCUACUUUUUCUGAUGUUUGGUUACUGUACUUUCAAUCUUUCAUGGCUAAUACCCCCUGAUACUAUCCAUAGUUUCAUCAAAAUAAGCAAUCAACACAACAAAAACAGAAUCUGUUAACAGCAGACCAGUCUGUAGUAAUCUGUAUAUUUCGUAUACCUCUGUUACUUCAACAAUUUUGAACAAUUAUGACAGUCUGAAUAAUUUGCGUAGCAAUCAGCAGAAAAAAGAAUCAACUCAAAAUCUCUUACAUAAAAAAAUGAAAAUUCUUUUCGUGAGCAGAAAGUUUGUGUCUUUUCCAGCAUGACCAAAUGAUCAUCCUCGAGACUAAUCAUAACGGUUUUGCUUGGCACAACCGCAAAAAGAAACACAAAAAACACAAUGACAACAGAAUUAUGAAAGUGUGGAAAACACAAAACAGAAAGAAAAAGGAUAAGUUCGUUGGGUUGCCUCCCAACAAGCGCUUUUGUUUAACGCCCUUAGCUAGGCGAAAGGUGAUGAAAUCACGUAUAGUCAUCUGUGGUUGUCAAACCAUAGGUAGCCCUCAUCAUAGAUUCAUAAGGAAAUCUUAUUUUAUUUCUAGGAAAUUGCUCCAUGCCCUUCUUCAAAGGAAAUUGAAAUCUAAUAUUCCCUUCCUUCAUAUCGAUGAUAGCACCAAUAGUCCUUAGGAAAGGUUUACCAAGAAUAAUGGGACAUGAAGGAUUGCAAUCUAUGUCAAGUACAAUGAAAUCCACGGGUACAUAGUUCUUAUUUGCAACAAUAAGAACAUCAUCGAUCCUCCCCAUGGGUUUCUUGAUAGUAGAAUCCGCAAGAUGCAAAUUAAGAGAACACUCUUAAAUCUCAUGAAAACCAAGAAUAUCACAUAAAGACUUUGGAAUCACGGAAACACUAGCACCCAAAUCACACAAAGCAUUGCACUCAUAGUUUUUGAUCUUGAUUUUGAUAGUAGGUUCCCACUCAACAUGAAGUUUUCUAGGUAUAGAGAAUUCUAAUUCGAGCUUCUCUUCAAGAGAUUUCAUCAUAGCAUCUACGAUAUGCGCGGUAAAGGCUUUGCUUUGGCUAUAAGUAUGUGGAGAGUUUGCAAUGGAUUGCAUCAAAGAACUGCAUUCAAACAAGGAGCAAUUAUCAUAAAUGAAUUACUUGAAAUCCAAAGUGGGAGUUUCAUUACUACCCAAAGUUUUGACUUCUUCUACUCCACUCUCCACACCUUUAUCAUCAAGAUAGGUGGACUCCGAAUCAUCGGGGCGUUUUUCAACCAAAGUGGAUUCAUAUCCAGCCCCUCCAUAAGUAGGUUUGACACGCGAAAUCAAAGACUCAAGAGGAGACACACCAAGCACUUUAAGAUCUUCGUGAUUUGCAUCACAAGAGCGCACCCUUUUAAACCAUUCAUGUCUAGCGCGAAUUUGGGCGGUUCUUUCUUUGCUCUCAUUCAUGGAGAUACGCAUAGCUUUCAAAGUUUCAUCCAAGUUGAUCUUGGGAGGAGCGCAUCUAACUUUCAAAGCAUCAAUAUCACAAGACAUCCUAUCAAUGCUCUUAGCCAAAUCGUCUAUUUUGAGUAGUUUUUCCUCUAUGGACGCAUUGAAAAUCUUUAGAGAGUUGAUGAACUCUUUGAUAUUACUCUCUAGAUCAGAGGGUAAUUUGUUGUGAUUUCCAUAAGUGUUGCCAUAGGAAUUUCCAUAAUUGUUAGAGGAGUUACUAGGAAAAGGCCUAGGAACAUAGUUUCCUCUAAAAGCAUUGUUGUUGCCAAAAUUGUUCCUACCAACAAAAUUCACGUCCAAACUAGCGUUGCCACUCUCAAUCAAAGAAGAUAGUGGCAUGUCAUUAGGAUCUAUGGUAGCAUUUCUACUUGCAACCAAAUUCAUCAACUCGUCCAUCUUUGCACUAAGCGAAUUAAUCUCUUCUAUAGCGUGCACCUUUUUGCUAGCAGGCGACCUUUCAGUGUGCCACUGAGAGUAGUUGGUCAGGAUAUUGUCUAGCAGUUUUGUAGCGUCUCCUAACGUGAUUUCCAUGAACGUUCCACCUGAGGCGGAGUCCAUGAUAUUGCGAGAAGCGAAAUUCAAGCCGGCGUAAAAGAUUUGUAUAAUCAUCCAUAAACUCAAGCCAUGAGCGGGACAAUUUCUAAUCAUAAGCUUCAUCCUCUCCCAAGAUUGUGCAACGUGUUCAUGAUCAAGUUGCUUGAAAUUCAUGAUAUCGUUACAUAAGGAGAUGAUCUUAGCCGGCGGAAAAUACUUGGAUAUGUAAGCAUCUUUGCACCUAUCCCAAGAGUCGAUACUAUUUUUAGGCAAAGAAGAAAACCAAGUUUUUGCGCGAUCUCGCAACGAGAAAGGAAAAAGUUUCAACUUAAUCACGUUGUUAUCCACAUCUCUUUUCUUUUGCAUAUCGCAAAGCUCAAUGAAGGUAUUGAGAUGGGAUGCGACAUCUUCACUAGGAAGGCCAGAGAAUUGCUCUUUCAUAAUAAGAUUCAGCAAAGCUGCGUUGAUUUCAUACGAUUCCGCACUAGUGGCGGGAGCGAUCAGAGUACUAAUAAAAUCAUUAUUAUUAGUGCUCGAGAAGUCGCAAAGUUUGGUGUUUUCAGACAAGAUGUCUUCAACAAACAAACAAGCACACAAGCAAGUAAGAAACCGGCAAAGGAAAACGGCGAGGUCAAGAGAAAACGACGAAGGAAAAAGGCGAAUGAAAACGGCAAAUGUGAAGUGGGGGAGAGGANNNNNNNNNNNNNNNNNNNNNNNNNNNNNNNNNNNNNNNNNNNNNNNNNNNNNNNNNNNNNNNNNNNNNNNNNNNNNNNNNNNNNNNNNNNNNNNNNNNNNNNNNNNNNNNNNNNNNNNNNNNNNNNNNNNNNNNNNNNNNNNNNNNNNNNNNNNNNNNNNGAAAACGAGAGGCAAAUGGCAACAAAAGUAAAUGCAAGAGAAUAGUUUGUGAGACCUACUUGGAUUGAUCUGGAUUUCUCUUCCUCGGCAAAGGCGCCAGAAAUACUUCUGAUGUUUCAAAAGGGAUCCCCAGCAAUGGCGCAGGAAUNNNNNNNNNNNNNNNNNNNNNNNNNNNNNNNNNNNNNNNNNNNNNNNNNNNNNNNNNNNNNNNNNNNNNNNNNNNNNNNNNNNNNNNNNNNNNNNNNNNNGGCAGCGGCGGCGCGGGGCAGCGGCGGCGCGGGACGUCGGUAGGGUUGGAGUUGGGCUACGUGGGAACGGUUGGAAGGGGGGCGGGGGUGCGCGUGGACGUGGCUAGGCUGCCGGCCCUUUGCCGUCCGCCGCGCUCCUAGGCUGACGGCAAAGGCCCCCAAGGCCGACGGCAAAGGUCCCGGGGGGGGAGGCACCGGGUGGGUGGUUGGGUGGUGGGCCGCCGUCCGCCGUGCUCCCAGGCGGACGGCAAAGGGCCCCAAGUAGACGGCAAAGGGGAGGGGUGUGUGGGGUGACGUUUCGGCCGUUGUGUGGCGGGGCUUUGCCGUCCGCCCUCCCUUUGCCGUCCGCUUAGGGCUCUUUGCCGUCGGCCAGCGGACGGCAAAGAAGUGGCCGACGGCAAAAUAAUCUUUUUCCAUCUGCCACCUCUUUGCCGUCAGCACUGUGGCAGCUGACGGCAAAGAGUACCUUUGCCAUGUGUGAGCUGACGGCAAAGGCCAAGCAGACGGCAAAUUUCUGGAUUCCAGUAGUGUUGAUCCGAUGCUUGAUGAUCACCAUCAUCAGCUUCCACUUCAAUUGGUGUAGGCGUCACAGGAACAACUUCCUGCGCCCUGCUACACACUGGUUGAAGUGAUGGUUCAAUAACCUCAAGUUCUACUACCCUCCCACUCAAUUCUUUCGAGAGAAACCUUUCCUCGAGAAAGGAUCCGUUUCUAGAAACAAACACUUUGCUUUCGGAUCUAAGAUAGGAGAUGUACCCAACUGUUUUGGAUAUCCUAUGAAGAUGCAUUUAUCCGUUUUGGGUUCGAGCUUAUCAGACUGAAACUUUUUCACAUAAGUGUCGAAGCCCCAAACUUUCAAGAAACGACAGUUUAGAUUUCUCUAAACCUUAGUCUAUACUGUGUCAUCUCAACGGAAAUACGCGGUGCCCUAUUUAAAGUGAAUGCAGUUGUCUUUAAUGCAUAACCCAUAAACGAUAGUGGUAAUUCGAUAAGAGACAUCAUAGCAUGCACCAUGCCAAAUAGUGUGUGGCUAUGAUGUUCAGACACACCAUUACACUAUGAUGUUCUAGGUGGCAUGAACUGCAAAACAAUUUCCACAUUGUCUUAACUACGUACCAAAACUCGUAACUCAGAUAUUCAUUUCUAUGAUCAUAUCGUAGACAGUUUAUCCUCUUGUUACGACCAACUUCACUCUGAAACAGAAUUGAACUUUUCAAUAUUUCAGACUUGUGAUUCAUUAAGUAAAUACUCUAGUAUCUACUCAAAUCGUCAUUGAAGUAAGAACAUAAUGAUAUCCACUGCGUGCCUCAGCACCCAUUGGACUGCAUACAUCAAAAUGUAUCACUUCCAACAAGUUACUAUCUUAUUUCAUCUCAAUGAAAACAAGGCCUUGCUCAUGUGGUAUGAUUUGCAUGUCACUAGUGAUUCAAAAUCAAGUGAGUAAAAGAUCCAUCAGCAUGGAGCCUCUUCAUGCAAUUUAUACCAACAUGACUCAAGCGGCAGUGCCACAAGUAAGUGGUACUAUCAUCAUUAACUCGUAUCUUUUGGCACCAAUAUCAUGAACAUGUGUAACACUACGAUCGAGAUUCAAUAAACCAUUGAAGGUGAUUAUUCAAGAAAAUAGAGUAACCAUUAUUCUCUUUAAAUGAAUAAUCGUAUUGCAAUAAACACGAUCCAAUCAUGUUCAUGCUUAAAGCAAGCACCAAAUAACAAUAAUUUAGGUUUAACACCAAUCCCGAUGGUAGAGGGAGCGUGCGACGUUUGAUCAUAUCAACCUUGGAAACACUUCCAACACGUAUCGUCACCUCGCCUUUAGCUAGUCUCCAUUUAUGCCGUAGCUUUCAUUUCGUGUUACUAAUCACUUAGCAACCGAACCGGUAUCCAAUACCCUCGUGCUACUAGGAGUACUAGUAAAGUACACAUCAACAUCAUGUAUAUCAAAUAUACUUCUCUCGACUUUUGCCAGCCUUCUUAUCUACCAAGUAUCUAGAGUUGCUCCGCCUCAGGGACUGUUCCCCUCAUUACAGGAGCACUUAGUCUCAGGUUUGGGUUUAAUCUUGGGUCUCUUCAUUAGUGCAGCAACUGUUUUGCCGUUUCACGAAGUAUCCCUUCUAGCCCUUGCCUUUCUCGAAACUUAGUGGUUUUACUAACCAUGAACUAUUGAUGCUCCUUCUUGAUUUCUACUUUCGCAGUGUCAAACAUCGCGAAUCACUCAAAGAUCAUAGUAUCUAUCCUUGAUGUGUUAUAGUUCAUCACGAAGCUCUCACAGCUUGGUGGCAGUGUCUUUGGAGAACCAUCACUAUCUCAUCUGGAAGAUUAACUCCCACUUGAUUCAAGCGAUUGUCGUACUCAGACAAUCUGAGCACAUGCUCAACGAUUGAGCUUUUCUCCUUUACUUUGUGGAUAAAGAAUCUUGUCGGAGAUCUUGUACCUCUUAACAAGGGCACAAGCAUGAAAUCACAAUUUCAUCUCUUUAGAACGUCACUUAUGUUCCGCGGCGUUUCAAAACGUUUUCGGCGCCUUGCUUCUAAGCCAUUAAGUACUUUGUACUGAACUAUCGAGUAGUCAUCAGAAACAUGCAUGUCGGAUGUUCACAGCAUCCACAGACGACCCUCGAGGUGCAGCACACCGAGUGGUGCAUUAAGGACAUAAGCCUUCUGCGCAACAACGAGGACAAUCCUCGGUUUUACAGACUUAGUCUGCAAAUUUUCCUACUAUCAACUUUCAACUAAAUUUUCUCUAAGAACAUAUAAAAAACAGUAGAGCUAUAGCGCAAGGUACAUCGUAAUUCGCAAAGACCAUUAGACUAUCUUCAUGACAAUUAGUUCAAUUAAUCAUAUUACUUAAGAACUCCUACUCAAAAAGUACAUCUCUCUAGUCAUUUGAGUGGUACAUGAUCCAAAUCCACUAUCUCAAGUCCAAUCAUCACGUGAGUCGAGAAUAGUUUCAGUGGUAAGCAUCUCUAUGCUAAUCAUAUCAACUAUACGAUUCAUGCUCGAACUUUCGGUCUCAUGUGUUCCGAGGCCAUGUCUGCACAUGCUAGGCUCGUCAAGCUUAACCCGAGUGUUCCGCGUGUGCAACUGUUUUGCACCCGUUGUAUGUGAACGUUGAGUCUAUCACACCCGAUCAUCACGUGGUGUCUCNNNNNNNNNNNNNNNNNNNNNNNNNNNNNNNNNNNNNNNNNNNNNNNNNNNNNNNNNNNNNNNNNNNNNNNNNNNNNNNNNNNNNNNNNNNNNNNNNNNNNNNNNNNNNNNNNNNNNNNNNNNNNNNNNNNNNNNNNNNNNNNNNNNNNNNNNNNNNNNNNNNNNNNNNNNNNNNNNNNNNNNNNNNNNNNNNNNNNNNNNNNNNNNNNNNNNNNNNNNUACCGUCGUUCUAAGCAAAAUAAGGUGCAUAAAAGGAUUAACAUCACAUGCAAUUCAUAAGUGACAUGAUAUGGCCAUCAUCACGUGCUCCUUGAUCUCCAUCACCAAAGCACCGGCACGAUCUUCUUGUCACCGGCGUCACACCAUGAUCUCCAUCAUCAUGAUGUCCAUCAACGUGUCGCCAUCGGGGUUGUCGUGCUACUUAUGAUAUUACUACUAAAGCUACAUCCUAGCAAAAUAGUAAACGCAUCUGCAAGCACAAACGUUAGUUUAAAGACAACCCUAUGGCUCCUGCCAGUUGCCGUACCAUCGACGUGCAAGUCGAUAUUAUUUAUUACAACAUGAUCAUCUGAUACAUCCAAUAUAUCACAUCACAUCGUUGGCCAUAUCACAUCACAAGCAUACCCUGCAAAAACAAGUUAGACGUCCUCUAAUUUUGUUGUUGCAUGUUUUACGUGGUGACCAUGGGUAUCUAGUAGGAUCGCAUCUUACUUACGCAAACACCACAACGGAGAUAUAUGAAUUGCUAUUUAACCUCAUCCAAGGACCUCCUCGGUCAAUUCCGAUUCAACUAAAGUUGGAGAAACUGACACCCGCCAGUCAUCUUUGAGCAACGGAGUUACUCGUAGCGAUGAAACCAGUCUCUCGUAAGCGUACGAGUAAUGUCAGUCCGAGCCGCUUCGAUCCAACAAUACCGCGAAAUCAAGAAAAGACUAAGGAGGGCAGCAAAACGCACAUCACUGCCCACAAAAACUUUUGUGUUCUACUCGAGAAGACAUCUACGCAUGAACCUAGCUCAUGAUGCCACUGUUGGGGAACGUCGCAUGGGAAACAAAAAAUUUCCUACGCGCACGAAGACCUAUCAUGGUGAUGUCCAUCUACGAGAGGGGAUUUCCGAUCUACGUACCCUUGUAGAUCGCACAGCAGAAGCGUUAAGAAACGCGGUUUAUGUAGUGGAACGUCCUCACGUCCCUCGAUCCGCCCCGCGAACCGUCCCACGAACCGUCGCGCGAUCCGUCCCACGAUCCGCUCUGAUCUAGUGCCGAACGGACGGCACUUCCGCAUUCAGCACACGUACAGCUCGACGAUGAUCUCGGCCUUCUUGAUCCAGCAAGAGAGACGGAGAGGUAGAAGAGUUCUCCGGCAGCGUGACGGCGCUCCGGAGGUUGGUGAUGAUCUCGUCUUAGGAGGGCUCCGCCCGAGCUCCGCAGAAACGCGAUCUAGAGGUAAAACAGUGGAGAUAUGUGGUCGGGUUGUCGUGGCAAAGUUGUCUCAAAUCAGCCCUAAAACCCCACUAUAUAUAGAAGGAGGAGGGGGAGCCUUGCCUUGGGGUCCAAGGACUCCCAAGGGGGUCGGCCGAACCUAAGGGGGAAGGUCUCCCCCCCCCCCCAAACCGAGUNNNNNNNNNNNNNNNNNNNNNNNNNNNNNNNNNNNNNNNNNNNNNNNNNNNNNNNNNNNNNNNNNNNNNNNNNNNNNNNNNNNNNNNNNNNNNNNNNNNNCCCGCCUCGCCCAGAUAUUGGAGCCCCUUGGGCCUUGGGUAUGCUAUACAGUGACGUUUCUCUUGCCCUGGUGGAUCCCCAGUAGCCCAAAAAGGUGUCUACCCCUCGUUCCUCGUCUCCAUGAAGUGCAGUCCACAUCGCCACAUCGUCGCCACACGCUGACCCAAGGUGCUCGCUCCGGCAGCUCCUCGCCUUAUUCAUCGAUUUUUUUGGUGUUGGUAUCCAUUGAAGGCGAGCAGCGCAACUUGCCAUCGUUGCAGGUCACUUGGUGCAUCGGUGCACUAUGCAAACAUGUGAGAGGAUUGAUUGGCACGCAAUUCAUUUUCAACCAUGUGACGUUGAUGUAUGGAUGUGCAUGGCAUGAGGUUCUCGAGUUGGGUUGUAUGUUGAUGCAGUUCGUGGGCGCGUCGACAUCAGAACCAGAUUCAAUGCUCAUGUGGGUUCAGUUCAUGGCUGUGUAGGCAACGAUGGAAGCAAGGCAGCCCACCCCAAAUGCACGGCGAGGAUCCGCUUCCAUUCCACUGCAGCAGUAGCGACUCUACACCCGCUGUGCGCCCCGCUCAUGCAGUCCAUGACAUGGUAGGUCAUGGUCCUUUGGGCUUGGGCGUCUAGUGCGGCUCCUGUGUGUGUCCAAUCCGACAAGAUGGGUGCAAAACCCGGUGUAUCACUGUGUAUUUCACAUAGGCGUGUUUAUCUUGUUGUAUGUUUCACUGUUUAUACAGUUCAAUUCCGACGCCCUCGCCAGUUGGAAUGGCAGCCUUUGCAAUUUAAAAAAAUGCAAAAGACAAAAAAUAUGAACGUUGUUUAUUUUGAUAGCAUUUUCUUACUGUGGUUCAUUGUUCGUUGUUUCUAUGUUCACUUUGUUGUUGUAUUGCACAAGACGGGCAACAAAAAACUCAAACUUAACAGCACCUCACUAAGAAAAAUAUUAAGAAAUCAUGCAGCCCUCUUAACCGUUUGAUGCAGUGUGGUUUUUCAUCUAAAACACUGCGAUCAGUCAUCUAAUGUUGUUCAUCNNNNNNNNNNNNNNNNNNNNNNNNNNNNNNNNNNNNNNNNNNNNNNNNNNNNNNNNNNNNNNNNNNNNNNNNNNNNNNNNNNNNNNNNNNNNNNNNNNNNNNNNNNNNNNNNNNNNNNNNNNNNNNNNUCUAAUGUUGUUCAUCUCCUGCAAUGUCGUCUAAUGUUGUUCAUCUCAUGCAAUAAAUGGCUACGGGAACGAGAACAAAAUGUGGUUCACUUCUCGAAAGUGUUGAUGUUCACUUACGCUCGACGUGAAGUGCGGUCCACUUCUUCGUCUUCAAAAUUUUAUGUUAGACAAAAAUAAAAUCAUGAAGUUCGCCUGCCCGUGUGAUGCACUGCAUUUUUCAGUAUGAUGCAGUGCAUUCUUCUGUCUCAUGCGGUUCACGCGUCGAUUUUGGUGUCGUGAAAAACAGAGUGAUCGCGUUUCGGUAAUUUCAGAACUGCUCUUAAAUUGUAAGGAAUUAGAGAGACUAUUCUGCAUGAAAAAGUUGCGCCUCAUCGAUCACUUGCAUCAUUCCGACGAACGGUUUGGAAAAAUAUUUGAAAAUAUGCUCGCUGCAACUCGUAUAGAGCAACACCGUUUUCAAAAUUCCUUUCAAACUGUGAGGAAUAUCACCAAGUGACCAACAUAUGAAAUUUGCGCCUAUUCCAUAGCUUUUCAACGCCGUACCAUACGCCUCCUUCUCACAAACUGUUUAAAACUGCAGUGACAAAUGUACCAAAAAAAUCAAAAAAAAUUGACAAACAAAAUUCCACUUUUUAGUAAAUUUGAAACUGCUCUAAAUCGUAAGGUAUUAGAGAAAAAUAUAUAUAUGAAAAAGUUGUGCCUUGACUAUAACCUUGAAUUGACAUAUUGUUUGCUUCAUUUCGACGAGCGAUUUAGACAAAACGCAAAAUACGCUCGUUGCCACCCAUCAUUUGCCAACUGUUUUUGAAACUGCUCUUAAACUGCGACGAAUCUCGAAAAGUGUUCAACAUGAAGAAAUUGGGAAUUUUCCGUAGCAAUCCAACGGUAUAUUAUAUGCCUUUUCCCGACAAACAGAUUAAAAACUGGAGCCAAAACGGUGUCUAAAAAACGCAUGCAGUUUUUUCUCGUGACAUUGGAGUGCUAGUUUGAUAGGGAUGCAGUGCAUUACCGUCUAUUCGUCACCCAGGAUGCAAAAUAUGUUAUUCUUGACCCAGGUAAUCUUACGACCAUUUUAUAAAUAAAUUACAUUUGGAAUAGCAGUAGUUACAUUAAUAUUGAUUCAUUAAGUAAAUUUUGAUGUAAAAAAAUUAAAAUAUAAGUCAUAAGACCAGAAAAUUCGUUCUUCAUGUGUAUUUUACACUAUGAUUUUAUAUUUGUAAUUUUACGUGACAUAAAAUAUUUUUACAUUGAUUAUAUUUUUUUACGGUCUCUUUUUACCUAUAAAAUAAGACAAGAUUGACGGAAUGUAAAAUUACGUUGUAUUGAUGUUAAAAUAGAGGGGGGGUGAAGAAUAACUAUUCGUCACCCUAGGUGAGGAAUAGUUAUUCAUCACCCUCCUCUAUUUUCACAUCAAUACACUGUAAUUUUACAUUUCUGAAAUUUUAAUCUUAUCUCAUAUGUAAAAAGAGACCGUAAAAAAAUAUAUAGUCACCAUAAAAAAUAUUUUGUAUCACGUACAAUUACAAACACAAAAACAUAGUGUAAAUUAUACAUAAAAUGUGAUUUUUCUGGUCUUAUGACCUAUAUUUUUGUUUUCUUAUGUCAAGUUUUUCGUAGUGAAUCAAUAUAAACGUAUCUAUUUGCAUUUCAAAUUUAAUUUAUUCAUGAAGAGGUCGUAAAAUUACCUCGGGUGAGGAAUAAUUUAAUCUGCACCCUAGGUAAUUUAAUCUGCACCCUAGGUGAUAUAUAUAUAUAUGACCGUUUGGGGCACCUAGGUGCCCAGGCUCCUUACAUUUCCACCAUUUGAUUGCAUUUAGAUGUGUGCUAUUGUGAUGGGUAUGGAAGGUAACUAGUCAAUCCAUUAGUAAUUUCCAAUUCUGAAAUAGAUAAUUUUGGAAACAAUGAUGACACAAAUCAUUAAAUGGAUGUCAUUAAACAUGUCAUACAUGAUAUCAUAUCUUUAGAAAAAAAAAAUACUACACAUUAGGCAUAUAGAUAUUUAUUUCACAUAUGUAUUAAUUAGGUAUGUAUGAAUCAUUUAUUUAGUGUAUCCAUCAAUGUUUUGUAUGUAUGUAUCUAUAAUAUUUAGUACCUAUGCAUUAGAUUUUCGUGUAUUAAUAUAUCCACAAUAUUUAGUACGUUAAUUGGAUUAGGUAUGUGGAAACGUUUAAUUGGUACAUACUCACUAGAUUUUAUUAGUAGUAUAUACCCGGAAUAUUUAGUAUGUAACUCAUUUUAUUUUUUGUGUACGUAUAUAUCUAGAAUACUUAGUACAUACCCAUUAAAUUAUGUAUGUAUGAAUUCACCUAUUUAAUACAUAUGCAUUAGUUUUUUGUGUAGGUAUAUACCCCGAUAAAAUAAAUACAUAGGAUUGUAUGUGGGUAUAUGUAACAUACAUUCCUAAAAGUAAAAAAGAAUUCUGGAUGGGUCUAUGUACGUAGGAAAAAAAAAAUCAUGUGUGGGUAUCAUAUAUUCGUACAAGUAAAAUAAUAAUUAGGAUCGCAUUUUGUAUUAUUUGGUCACCUUAAUUUGUAUAGAAAUAUUUGACCACCUUAAUUUCUAAAGAAAUAUUAGGUGUUUUUAUAGUAUUUGUCACAUCUGAUACGUAUCUUAAAAAAUAAAAGUGUAUAUGCAUACCCUUUUCAUUUGGAAAUGAAUCAUACUAGGAAACUAGUAGUAUAUUAAUUUUUUAGAAAGCAAUCAUUAACCAUUGAUGGUUGUAGUGCAUGCAAAUUAAAUUUGGAAAGUUAUUAUGUCAUGAUUUUUAUAUCAUGCACUAUCAAUAUGACUUGCUAUAUUGGGACCUAGGUGCCCAGACACCUAGGUGCCCCAAACGGUCAUAUAUAUAUAUAUCACCUAGGGUGCAGAUUNNNNNNNNNNNNNNNNNNNNNNNNNNNNNNNNNNNNNNNNNNNNNNNNNNNNNNNNNNNNNNNNNNNNNNNNNNNNNNNNNNNNNNNNNNNNNNNNNNNNUAUACUUAGCUAAUUUCUAUCCGAAAUAACCUAUAUAUACACUACUUCAUCUAGUAUUAUUUUUCUAACUUUCUUAUUUGUCAUUUUGCAGAUUACCUUCACUUCACGGGAAGCUUGGUUGAUGGAAUGCUUGAAGCUGAUUUCUUGUAACAUGGGUUGUAUUGAAACUAUUGUAGUAUAUGAAUAUAUGAAACUUUGUAUGCACGUGGAUGAAACUGGUGUAAUAUAUGGUUUGGUACGGAUGUAACUUGCAUAAUAUGUAUGCACUAUGGAUGAGAGUUAUUUUAAUAUGGUUAUGAGUACGGAAAGAAAUUUAUUUAUGUAAAAUAUAUAUAUAUUCUGAUUAUUGUUAAAAAUGCUGGAUAUAACAAAAAAUAAAUAAAAAAGGGGCUGGUUCCCCUCUUUGCCGUNNNNNNNNNNNNNNNNNNNNNNNNNNNNNNNNNNNNNNNNNNNNNNNNNNNNNNNNNNNNNNNNNNNNNNNNNNNNNNNNNNNNNNNNNNNNNNNNNNNNNNNNNNNNNNNNNNNNNNNNNNNNNNNNNNNNNNNNNNNNNNNNNNNNNNNNNNNNNNNNNNNNNNNNNNNNNNNNNNNNNNNNNNNNNNNNNNNNNNNNNNNNNNNNNNNNNNNNNAGGGGGAAUCUACCCCCUCUCUCUCCCCUCUUUGCCGUCUGCCCCCACAUGGCAAAGGGGGGGAGGCACAUGGCAAAGGGGGAUUCUGCCCCCUUUGUCUCCCCUCUUUGCCGUCUGCCCCCUCAUGGAAAAGGGGGGAAGGCAGACGGCAAAGGGGGAAUCUACCCCUCUCUCUCUCCCCUCUUUGCCGUCUGCCCCCUCAUGGGAAAGGGGGGAAGGCAGACGGCAAAGGGGGAAUCUACCCCUCUCUCUCUCCCCUCUUUGCCGUCUGCCCCCUCAUGGCAAAGGGGGGAAGGCAGACGACAAAGGGGGAAUCUGCCCCUCUCUCUUUCCCCUCUUUGCCGUCAGCCCCCUCAUGGCAAAGAGGGUAUGGCAGACGGCAAAGAGAGGAGGCCUGCCAUUAACACUUAACGGGGACGUUGCAAUAUAUGCCGUCCCAUUUACUUUGCCGUCCGUGGUUGCCCCCUUUGCCGCCCGCCUUGGCAGACGGCAAAUUUCUGGAUUUCAGUAGUGCAAGUUAUUACAAGCCUCGUAGGCUGACAAGGUCGCGUACUACUACAGAGUGGUACGGUAACCCUGUCUUGGAGGUCAUGUUGUUGAGCAACAGUGAACCUACGAGUUAUGGAGAAAGCAAUGGUGGGCCCAGAUUCCAACAAAUGGCUGGAAGCCAUGAAAUCCGAGAGAGGAUCCAUGUAUGAAAACAAAGUGUAGACUUUGGAAGAAUUACUUGAUGGUCAUAGGACUAUUGAGUAAAGAUGGAUCUUUAAAAGAAGACAGACGAUGAUGGUGAUAAGUUACUAUUAAGAAAAGCUCGACUUGUCGCAAAGAUGUUUCCGACAAGAUCAAACAGUUGACUAUGAUGAGACUUUCUCACUCGUAGCGAUGCUAAAGGUCUGUUAGAAUUAUGUUAGUAGUUGCUGCAUUAUUUAUGAAAUAUUGCACAUAGGAUGUCAAAACAUUGUUUCCUCGACGGUUUCCUUGAGCAAACAUUGUAUGUGAUAUAACCAGAAGGUUUUGUCGAUCCUAAAGAUACUAACAAGUAUGCAAGCUCCAGUGAUCCUUCAAUGGACUGGUGCAAGCAUCUCGGAGUUGGAAUAUACACUUUGAUGAGAUGAUCAAAGAUUUUGGGUUUGUACAAGGUUUAUGAGAAACUUGUAUUUCCAAAGAAGUGAGUGGGAGCACUAUAGAAUUUCUGAUAAGUAUAUGUGGUUGACAUAUUGUGGAUCAGAAGUAAUGUAGAAUUUCUGUAAAGCAUAUAAGGUUGUUUGAAAGGAGUUUUCAAAUGAAUACCUGGAUUGCGCUACUUCAACGUUGAGCAUCAAAUAUCUAUGGAGAUAGAUCAAAAAGUGCUUAAUGAAAGUUUCAACAAAAUGCAUGCCUUGACAAAUUUUUUGAAGGAGUUCAAAGUAGAUCAGCAAAGAAGGAGUUCUUGGUUGCUUUGUAAGGUGUGAAUUUGAGUAAGGCUCAAAACCCGACCACGACAGAAUAAAGAGAAUAGACGAAGGUCGUCUUCUAUGCCUUAGCCGUAGACUCUAAAGUAUACCAUGCUGAGUACCGCACCUGAUGUGUGCCUUGACUCAAAGUCCGGUGAGAGGUACAGAAAGUGAUCCAUGAUUGAAUCACUGAUCAGCGGUCAAAGUUAUCCUUAGUAACUAAAUAGACUAAGGAAUUUUUCUCGAUUAUGGAGGUGGUUAAAGAGUUCGUCGUAAAGGGUUACGUCGAUGCAAGCUUUGACACUAAUCCGAAUAACUAUGAGUAGUGAAACGGAUUCGUAUAGUAGAGUAGAUAUUUGGAGCAUUUCCGAAUAGCACGUAGUAGCAGCAUCUAUAAGAUGACAUAAAGAUUUGUAAAGAACGCACGGAUCUGAAAGUUUCAGAACCGUUGACUAAAACCUCUCUCACGAGCAAGACGUGAUCAGACCGCAUAACUAUAUGGGUGUUGGAUUCGUUGGAAUCACAUGGUGAUGUGAACUAGAUUAUUGACUCUAGUGCAAGUGGGAGACUGUUGGAAAUAUGCCCUAGAGGCAAUAAUAAACUAGUUAUUUUUAUAUUUCUUAGUUCAUGAUAAUCGUUUAUUAUCCAUGCUAUAAUUGUAUUGAUUGGAAACACAAUACUUGUGUGGAUACAUAGACAAAACACUGUCCCUAGUAAGCCUCUAGUUGACUAGCUCGUUGAUCAAAGAUGGUCAAGGUUUCCUGGCCAUAGGCAAGUGUUGUCACUUGAUAACGGGAUCACAUCCUUAGGAGAAUCAUGUGAUGGACUAGACCCAAACUAAUAGACGUAGCAUGUUGAUCGUGUCAUUUUAUUGCUACUGUUUUCCGCGUGUCAAGUAUUUGUUCCUAUGACCAUGAGAUCAUAUAACUCACUAACACUGGAGGAAUGCUUUGUGUGUAUCAAACGUCGCAACGUAACUGGGUGACUAUAAAGAUGCUCUACAGGUAUCUCCGAAGGUGUUCGUUGAGUUAGUAUGGAUCAAUACUAGGAUUUGUCACUCCGUAUGACGGAGAGGUAUCUCAGGGCCCACUCGGUAAUACAACAUCACACACAAGCCUUGCAAGCAAUGUGACUUAGUGUAAGUUACGUGUAAGUGCAUCUAGUGCCCGUUAGUGAUUUUGGUGGUUUGAAGACUUAUAGGUUAAGUAUCUAAUGUGUUGUUGAGUGUACACAGGAUCUAUAAGUCAUUGAGGAGUUUGAGAUAUUUGAAGAAUAUCGACCCCUAAAAAUGAAUGUCUUCAGUUGAAGAAAUUGGUCUGAAGCUGAAGAAAUGAAUCACGAGGAAUCUGCGAUGAAAUUGAUAUUCCUCAUGAAGAUAUUGAUAUUGAGAAGAUCGGUGGUUCCUGAAGAAAAUCAUUUUGAAGAAAUUGAAGCGUGAAGAUUUACGUUUUCUGUUUUACUUUCUUCGCAUUUGAUGAAUAGGAACACCGUACUGUAAAAGGGGGUCAAAGUAACGCUAUGGCAUGAAUUUCCUCAUGANNNNNNNNNNNNNNNNNNNNNNNNNNNNNNNNNNNNNNNNNNNNNNNNNNNNNNNNNNNNNNNNNNNNNNNNNNNNNNNNNNNNNNNNNNNNNNNNNNNNCUUGGGUUUGAUCGUACGCAUUUGCAUGUAUGUUUAGCGUACGAUUAAAUCGAGGCCGUCACAAGUUGAUAUCAGAGCCGGCUUCCUAUAGGUAGCCCCCUUUCCAACUCCUUGGUCGAAGUUGAGUCUAGUGUUUGACAAACUUUACUAACACUGAUGUUGUGGCUUACGGGCCCACAUCUCAAUUGGGUGGUAUUAGUAUCUUUUACUCCUUUCCUAUACUCUAGGCUCUACUCUCUCUUCUCUUUCGGGUUAAAGAUUUUACUAACUCUAACAUUAGGUUCUCGGAAUCACAUCUACCCAGAGAGCCCCGUAUUCCAGACGCUGGCUUUAUCCCUCAAAAGAACUGCAGUUACUCUUCGAUGUUCUCUUGAGCUGUUGUGCUCAUUGCUUCUGCAAUUUUCCCUUCCUUCGUCAACCACUACAGAUGACUACAUACAAAUGUCGUUCAUACUUUCUUCUCCAAUUGCUCUUGUUUUACAAGAUGCAAUGAAUUAUCUUAUCGGGGAUUCGUCCAUCAUCAGUUGUCAUGGGUUUCGAAAGUUCUUCGACUUACUAUUCGGUCUUCCGAAAUCCUCCGUAGCCUAAAGUUCAUGACCUUUCUCACCUACUUGCAUUAUGGUUAAAUCCAUAUGUCUAGCAGCAUUCAUUAAAAUCAUUUGUGAUUUUCCUGUGAUCUUAUUGAUUCUACCUUUGGGUGAAUGCACACAAUCACUUGAUGAUACUCAUGAAUUAUCUUCUGGCUCAGAUGUCCUUUCAGACGGAGCGGGUUCUCGACAAAUCAACUUUGGUUGGCUAUCCAUCUAAGUCCAUUCAACCUGCUCGUAUUUGACCAGAGCAUCUGUUUAUGAUACACCAAUCUGGAAAUCUUAAUUCCUUUGGUAGUUAAGUAUCGAUAAUUUUCAGAUGUUCUAUAAUCCGAUGCCUUGCGUUUUACCCCCCCCCCCUUGAUUGAGUACCGACACUCACAUCAGAUCAUUUGUGGAUUGCCAGACUCAUUUGAGUUAUUAUCCGACGGCAUCCUUUUGCUUUAGAAAAUUCUUGUGAUUGCUCCCCCUGAUAUAUGAUGCCAUUGGUAAAAUUGUGUCCUCUCUCUUUGAUUAAUUGUAUCCUAUACUUUUGUCGGCCAUGCUCUGUUGUCAAGCAUGUGUUAAUUACUCUUGAAGUUUGCGGUAUAUGUUCCUAAUAUGCCCCGACUGGUUGAACCUAUGCCUUCCUAAAUCAAUAUGACUCGAAAAGUUUUCAUGAGUCUUACUCUUCUGGUGUUAUGCCAGAUCUUCUUUCAAAGCUAUAACCUGAUCAAAGGCGAGGAGUAAAUGGCAGGUGAUGCAUUGAUGAAGUGGGAGUCGACCUUGAGCUUUGUGUUCAUGCCCAUGGAAGCGAUGUUGAUCCUAUCGUAGAAGCUUCUCAUAUCAAUAACCAUUCAUUGUAUGAUUUGAUCUUGUAUCCGUGAUUGGGUACUUUGCAAUCGUGGUUCCGACCAUAUUGUCCUACCUUGAAUUCUUUCUCAGACGAGUUAAAUUACUUGUCUUCUUCAGAUCAAUACAUCGGUCCAAGCCUUAAUGUUGAUCUACCUUCGAGUAUUAUUCCUUGUAGCUCGAGGAUAUCGCAGAGCUAUAUAACUUCUUGUGAGCUCCUCAUCGACUAUGAUAUUUUCAUUAAUUCCAGUUUCCUCGUGUUUGAGAUGUUGUACACGCGAGUACAUCGAUAACUGAAUCGAGUAUGCAUUGCGAUUCAACAAAAUUUUAGUAAUCUUCCUUGUUUACGAGUUUGUACUCGAUCGUGUCAUUCUAAGAUGUUAAGCUACAUCAUCAUGGUCAUGUUGGAGCUCGACCAUGCUAUCUAUACCCUCCAUCCCUGGAACACAAUUCUAACUGUGCGUUAAGCGUGCAUCGAACUUUCCACAUCAUGUUGGUUGUCCUGAAAGGCAAUCUCAAUUCUGAGCUAGCAGUCUUAUUGUGUUUCCGGCAGCCUGUAGCUUCAUCAUUCCCUUGCUUGAUGUCAUCGCUAAUCGAUUACAUCUUCGUGAAGUUCUCGACAAUUGUGUCGUGAUCAUCAUCAGCAUUCUGAGCUCUUCCAGGGCACCGAUCGGAGCAUGAUGAGAAAUACCAUCCUCACCCCUCGAUGAUUUGUGUUAUCAUCGACAAACCUUGUUGCCUUCACUCCCACGCAAACUUGAUCAUGUUUUGUGUUGUCCCUUGAGUUCCUUGCUAGUUCAACUUAUGUUGUCUCCUACCUUGAAGUAUUACUAUCUUUUCUGUCAAGAAUGUUGUGAGCAUGAUUGCACCUCUUAAGAAUUCUUGAUAUAGUGAUACUUCUCGGCACCACCAUUCAUUUCUUGGUCCCGUGUUGUUUCUAACUGGUGUACCGACAAGUGAACUCUGAUGUGUGAUUCCAAUACUUUUGUCAACCCUAUCACCUUGAGGUUAAUAACUGAUUGUUUCCUCCUUAGUGUGUGGGGUGUUGACUCAUCAUUUUAGCAUUGGUCGUGCUACUCACUCAGUAUUUCCGAGUGCACCCUUUUACCAAUAUUUAAUUGUUGUUGUUCCCUCGAGCAUACGACAUUAUACCAUUUGAUUUGACAAAUGCUAACUCCUUGAUAUUAUAAUUUUGGAAAUUCGUCCCUGUCAAAAUCUUGAGGGAUUGUUGCGAAGCCCAUCGGUCACACCCUCAAGUUCUCCAUGGUUCGUGAUGAAGCUUUUGAAAGCACUAUCUUUGUGCCUAACUCAUGGAUGAUAUGUUUGAUAUAAGAAGUGUUUUCCCAAGGUUCACGUGCAAUCCUGUCGCUGUGAAUAUAUGAAAGUUUUGUUUCACUUCCUCUAGGAUCGUCCCAAAUCAUUCACGCAUGUGCGAAGUGUUAUAUGUUUUGAAGAUUUGCUAUCUUCACUUCAUAUAAUUUCUCUUAGCACGCCAAGCCACUGACUGAUUUGAUCAAGGAAAAGAGGUUUCUUCAUAAGAGCUAAUCGAGGCUUACGCAAGGGCCUUGAUAUCCUCGAUGAUGGUUCUCAAAUCACAACUCACUUGCUUUUCGUCGUAAGAAUUUCAUGUGGGCCCGAAUGUCUUGACAUUGUGUUCAUAUGUAUUAAAUCGAACUCAUGGUUCAAAAAUUGCUCGUGUACUUCAUAUCCUGAGGAUCCUGCAUCAUCAUCUUUUCUUCUCAGGCAUCUUGAGUCUGAGGUGUCCCGACACCAAUCAGAUCUGAAUCUCAGGCCGAUAUGAUGGUUGGAACAUUUUCCCAAUAAUUAUAACUUUGGUCUUUAUGUAACCUGGUACGGUGAUGUCUUGUCGGGCAUACCAGGCCGCAGGACCUAUUUCUAUAAAUCUUUCCAUAUGUAAGGUUUGCCAUUCUACCAUGAGGAAAUUGUAUGACUUAGCUUCGUAAGUUGUUCCUCAUGGUUCCUCUUUGAAUACCCAUAAGUACAACCUUUAUCUGAUGACCUCACUUUAAUACUGCUGCAACAAUAUGANNNNNNNNNNNNNNNNNNNNNNNNNNNNNNNNNNNNNNNNNNNNNNNNNNNNNNNNNNNNNNNNNNNNNNNNNNNNNNNNNNNNNNNNNNNNNNNNNNNNUCAUAUUGUUGCAGCAUUAUUAAAGUGAGGUCACGCCUAAAGAUCCUCCCUCGACUCCCUGCGAGGAAGCAAUCCAGAGGCAAACUAAUUCCAGUUAAGUAACAAUUGUAGUUGUAUAAGAUCGGGGCACAACUCCAAGUCGUCCUGUAACCGUGGACACGGCUAUCCAAAUAGUUAAUUUUCAUCCCUGCAGGGGUGCACCACAUGUCCCGUCACGCUCGAUAACACUCUGGCCGGACAUACUUUUCUGGGUCCUGCCCGGCCUCGGAAUAUCGACACGUUGCAACCCCACCUAAGACUAAUCAGAGAGGUCAGCCCGCCGGUCUAAAUCCUAAGCGCAAAGGGUUCAUGGGCCCAGUUCCCCUCCGCGCUCCUGCAUGAAGCGAGGGCGGCCGACGUCAGUCCUAGCAUCCCUUAAUCACAAGCGCAAUGCAUCUCGGGACCACUCGGGCGCGCGCCACUACGAUUGCUGACAUCUGAAAAGCUUCGGCUGAUAUCGCGACGCUGAGUACCCAUAAUUCUUCCCGCGUAGCCGGUUAGUGCGAAAAGGUCUCCGACCAACCCAGAUGAAAUACCCAAAUCCAUUAACAUUUUAAUUAGGCCAACAACGCAGUCUCACGGGAAUCCACCCAUCUUACAACUAAUCACCAAAGAUCCCAGUAACAAGGUCGAGUAACUUUGUGGUUGUAACAUCGGGGGGAAUCCGAGGUAUCACCCUCGUUGGAUUCCGAACGAUGUACCCGUCAAGGUGGGCUUAGAGGAAUCACCCUCGGGGGUCCCACACUUGAGGGGUUGCACAACAGAGGCGUCAUCAGGAAUGGUGAAAGAGGAAUCACCCUCGAUAACCACGACCGACUAGCUAUACUACAGAGAUAUUAUCACGAGUACUUAGCAAGGUGUCACCCUCGGUACCCGAUAGUAUCCCUGUAGUGUCGUACAACGAAGGGGGUGUAUGUGAUGUGUCGGGUCUGGCUCGUCGAUCAGGGAUCGAGAUUUGAAAACAAGCGGGGCAACUGGACUACGGGGUCUGAGGGGAUGACUGCUCCACCUAUACUAAGCAUACUAAAGGUACAGGACUGAAAGUAGCAGUUCAUCAAAAAUAGGCUAUGCAUCAGAUAUAGGAGCUAACUACAACAGUAGCAAAAUACUAAUGCAAGCAGUAGGAAGAAAGACAUAGGCGAUAAAGGAAUGAUCAAGGGGGGGUUUGCUUGCCUUGCUGCUCUGCGGCAAAGGACUGAUCGGCAGGGUCGUAGAUGUACCCGGCAGCAGCGUCAGUCUCGGGGUCUAGCGGUAAGAAGAGGGGGAAGAAACAAUAAAUAAUAGCACCGAUGCAACACAAAGUAUGACAUGGCAAGAUGCAGGCUAGACAUGAGCUAACGCAGCAACAUCCGUCAUAGACGGGUCGGAAGAAUAUCUGACGAUAUUUUCCGGGUCUCGGGCUACUACCGGUUAUACUGGAAACGAUGGAAAUGUUCCAUGUUUGCUAUGCUAGGGACGCGUGACACACGAAUGGACCGUGUAUCCGGGUUCGUCUCGUUCUGCUGAUCAACUUUCAUGUUGAAAAUAUUUUAAUCUGACUUACGGAUUAUUUAAUUUUAAUUUUUAAAGUUUUAUUCAAUAAUUAGGAAUUAAAAACAGGUUUAAAUAAUUUAGUAAAAAUCUAUUAUGACAUCAGCAUGAUGUCAUGCUGACAUCAACACUUGACUGGUCAACUGACCAGCGGGUCCCGAACGUCAUAGGCACUAGUUUUAAUUAAGAUUAAAUAUUAAUUAAUCAGAUGAAUUUAGUGGGGGACCCACGUGUCAUACUCUAAUUAUUCUAAUUAAUUAAUUUAACUAAUAUAUCUAUUUAUUUAUUUAAUAAAAACAUUAACAUUAUCUUUAAUUUUUUUAAUUAUCGCGUGGGGCCUCCCUGUCAUAGACAGCGGGUGCGUUGGCCCCACCAGUAAGUGACCUUAGGCCAAAUACUCGAUUUUAUUCACAGAUACAUAAUCAUGCAAAUAUCGUAUUCCUUCAAAUACCUAUAUACGCAAUACAUACAUCGCAUCUCAUACAUACAUACAUUCAUAUAUACGGGAUACACCAUUUGUUUUAUUUUAUUUUAACUCUCAACACUCCCAUCUCUCUCUCUGUUAACAGACAACACAGAGUUUGUGUUAACUUUCUCAACAUAGAAGAGAGCCAACUUCAUCUCCUCCUACCGGAGUCAAACGUCGACGGAUCGGAGCCCCGUUUGCCGGAACGGAACCGGGACGGCAAGGGGAACGAGAUGGUGGGAGGAGCCCGAGGAGGGGCUCACCGACGUUGACGAUACGGCCCGGUGAAGCCGGAGAUCGCGGGAAGGGGCGGAGGAGACGACAUGUUGGCGUUCCUGGAGGCGGUGAUGAUGGUGAUGGCGGUGGUGGUGCGGGUGAGGUCGUUGCCGGCGAGGAGAGGCGCCGAGAGGGGUCCCGGUGUGGAGGGCCCCCAGGGAUGGAGCCGCCGUAGUGGAGCUCCGGCCGGCGCGGGGGGCCGACGGGAGACGAGGUUCCCGGGGGGGCUCGGUCGACGAGGGAACCGGGAGGGGGCCGUGUGCUCCGGCUGGUGGGGAAACAGGGUACCGGCGGGUGGUAGUGGGGGGCCGACGGGGCUGGUCGAAGAGGCGCAGGGGGAGGGUCGGUCGACGGGGUCCUCGGGCCGACGGGCGGGGCACCUAGGGCUGGGGGCGGUUCNNNNNNNNNNNNNNNNNNNNNNNNNNNNNNNNNNNNNNNNNNNNNNNNNNNNNNNNNNNNNNNNNNNNNNNNNNNNNNNNNNNNNNNNNNNNNNNNNNNNUGCUGCAACAAUAUGACUAUUAAUGUUUUACCCGUGUUCUACUCUCGUCUAUUGCUGCAAGACCCUGAAGAUGCUAGUCUUCGAUAGGACUAGGCCUUCUCUCUCUAUUCUCGCAUUGCUGUAGUCAGUCCACAUAUAACCCCCCUUCUUUGAUACUGGUGCAUAUUUUGCAUAGUUCUGAUGUAAGUCUUGCGAGUACUUUGGAUGAGUACUCACCGUUUCUUUGCUCCCCCUUUGUUCCCUUGAUCAGUUGCUGUGACCAGAUGUUGGAGCCCAAGAGUGGAGUUUCCUGCCAAUGUCUUCCAUCCCGUUGGUGUCUUCUUCAUGGAGGCCGCUGGAGAUAGGAGUAGUUUAGGAGGUUCCCAGACAGGAGGCCUCGCCUCGUUCAAUCGUGUUUCUUUCGUGCUAGCCUUCUCUAAGGCACCCCAUGUUUUAUGUCUGUGCUCAGAUAUUGUUGCUUCCGCUGACUCGUGUGUUUAUCGAGCUUCUGUAUUCUAGCCCUCGAGGCCCCUGGCUUGUAAUAUGAAGCUGA
This 50055-nucleotide long non-coding RNA is filed under the name Hordeum vulgare. Its description in RNAcentral is "long non-coding RNA (HVUL_LNC018647)". The record is from RNAcentral. Lineage: Eukaryota; Viridiplantae; Streptophyta; Magnoliopsida; Poales; Poaceae.